AACAAAAAAUUCUUAUCCUCACACACAAGUACACACGAUUAUUCCACUAUACUAAUGAGUGGUUCCAAAAUUUAUUUUGACCACAACAUUUUUUUAGUGUAUUUAAAAAAAAAAAAAAAGAAAGAAAUGACCACAACAUUUUUUUAGUGUAUUUAAAAAAAAAAAAAAAGAAAGAAAGAUAAAACGACCCCAAUACUUUGAUGAUUCUGUCGAUGAGCAAUAUGCUUUAAUGUGUUAUGCUUAAUACAUUUUCUUUCACUCUCCAUAUGAAAAAGAGUUUGUACCAAAGAGGGUCUAAAUGAAAGCAAAUAGAAACCACAGGGACACAAACGGAAAUUACAACAAAAGCGGAACAGAAAAAAAGGGUUUCGAGUGGUAACAUGAACAGAACUCAACACACGCACACACAAGUGUUGGAGGCCGCGUAUAAUAUAUAAGUGCACCAAAGACCAAACUUUAGUCCCUUCCCUUUUAACUCCACGGCGCAGAUCCGAGGAGUUUGGUAACCCUAGCAACUAUUUUCUCUUAAAUCAAUCUUCUCCUUCUCUUUGAAAAAAAAAAGAAAACCAACUCUUUCUCUCCAUUUUAAUCACCAUCAUCAAAGCUUUGCAGGUCACUCUUUUUUUCUUCGAUUUAUUUGCUGUUUUAUAUUGUUUGAUAAUUUGUCAAAGAUUGAUGCUUUACCUUUUUUUUCCAGAUGUUUAUGUAUGUCGGUCUGUGUGAAAGUUGUUUUUUUGAUGGAAAUAUUUCUGGGUUUGGUGGAUUUUUGUUUUUGGGGGGUUGAUUUGACGUUGGCGUAGGGUUUUGUAUGUUUUCGGAUCUGGGUUUGUUUUUAUUGUGUCUAUACGCCUUGAUGAUCUGGAGAUUGAUUUGGUUUGCUGAUUCUUUGUGCUCAUUCAGGUUGUGUAUGUUAUUGAUUGAGCAUGCUAUAAAAGAUUCGUCUUGAUUUGGGCUUAUAUUUUGUAUCAGAUGGAGCAUGAGACUCAUGUUUUCUUCUUAUGAUUUUUCUUUAUUACUGUUCUAUCAGAAACCAAUCUAGGAGUGAAGUAAGAUUUUUUAGAUGCUAAGUAGAUUUAGAAUUUUAUGACGUCUAAAACUGUAUGUGACUAGUUUUGUCAGAAGAGUGAUUUUUAUAUAUUUGGCCGAAUGCAAGUUACCUGUUCAAAAAUUGUGAUGCACCAAGUGCUUGUUUUCUUCUCUUUUAUGCGUUUUUUACCAUAAUUUUGUCUUGAUGAUACUGCAAUGAUCAUUCUGUUAUAUGGCUACUCUUAAUGGCUCUGUUUGUAAUUAACUUAUUGGGACACUAAAAUAUAGUGGAUUCUAUCAGAAAUCUUUCCCUACAAGUUGGAAUGUGCUGGAUCAUUGUUAUUUGGCAUUCACUCAUUUAUAUCUAUUAGUUGCACUCUCCUGUUUCCUUUGAUUUUGGUAAUUCGGAGAAACAAUGAUUUAAGUAAUGAAUGUAGUUUUAUUUUGAGAGCUAUUUGCUGGUCUUAAGUUCUUUAAUUCUUGCUGAACUUUGGGGGAGUGGGGAAAGCACUGUCUGGUGAUCAUACCAGAUGGCUGGCUGCCUGUUAGCAAAUCUUCUCCAAACACUAAUACAGAAGAUAAUGCUUGUAGUCCUCUUUGUUUGGUUUGCAAGUUUGGCUCUUCUGUUAAAUUGUCUUCCAGUAAGAAGUGAUUUUAUCUGGUUGACUGAGUGAUAUAGAUAUCCUUCCUGCCUUGGAAUGAGUUGACUUGCGCAAUAUCACAAUUCAUGACUUGUGAUUUGAGUAUUUUAUUCAGACUUUUGUCAGAUAUAUUUUAUUUCUUCACGUGCACUGGUUUGUACGUUUGUCUUAUUUUCACUUUUCAUCUAAUUUGCUUAAGGUUUUCUAUGUUCAGAUAUGGCUGGUUUGGCACCCGAAGGAUCUCAAUUUGAUGCUCGUCAGUAUGACACCAAGAUGAAUGAACUGUAAGAUUAUUUUUUAUUGUCAUUUCUGUUAAUCUUCAGCAAGAAGUGGCUCUUAGUAUAAAAUAAAACACCUUGAUCUCAGGAUUUACAUCUGUCUCAAUUAUUUUAUUGAUGCAGGCUCUCUACUGAUGGGCAAGAUUUCUUCACUUCUUAUGAUGAAGUUUAUGACAGUUUUGAUGCAAUGGGACUGCAGGAAAACCUUUUGAGGGGAAUCUAUGCUUAUGGUAUUUAAAGAGGGGCUUUACUACUAAAACAUCUUUGCCCUAUUCUUUUGUCCUUUGUUCACCUUUGUUUUACACCCUUUGUUACGUUGCACCAUCUUAUGUGUAUAAUGGUCUUGUUUAAGUGUUUUUCGUCUUGCAAGUGUACUUUUUAAUGUCAUUGCAAAUUACCUUGUGUUCCUGUUCUUCUGUUUUACCUAUUGGGAAGAUGGAAUGGUUAAUGUGUCCUUAUUUUAUUUGCAGGGUUUGAGAAGCCUUCUGCUAUUCAGCAAAGGGGAAUUGUUCCCUUCUGCAAGGGACUUGACGUCAUUCAGCAGGCUCAGUCUGGAACUGGGAAAACAGCAACUUUCUGCUCUGGAAUUUUGCAGCAACUUGAUUAUGGUCUUGUCCAAUGUCAGGCCCUGGUGUUGGCACCCACUAGGGAACUAGCUCAACAAAUUGAGAAAGUAAUGAGGGCACUUGGUGAUUAUCUUGGUGUUAAGGUUCAUGCUUGUGUCGGUGGGACAAGUGUUCGCGAGGAUCAGCGCAUUCUUCAAGCUGGUGUUCAUGUUGUUGUUGGCACUCCUGGUCGUGUGUUUGACAUGCUGCGCCGACAGUCUUUACGCCCUGAUUACAUUAAGAUGUUUGUACUGGAUGAGGCUGAUGAAAUGCUUUCCCGUGGUUUUAAGGAUCAGGUUUGUUAUUGUAUAUAUAUUGAUUGCACUUCUUUGCUUGGUUACCAUGUCUUGAUAGUUCCCAAUGGAGUUCUUUUAUGCGAUUUACUAAUUACUGUUUUCUGGUUGUCAGAUCUAUGAUAUUUUCCAGCUGCUUCCAGCUAAAGUUCAGGUGGGGGUUUUCUCUGCUACAAUGCCUCCUGAGGCCUUGGAGAUUACAAGGAAGUUUAUGAACAAGCCUGUGAGAAUCUUGGUUAAACGUGAUGAACUCACCCUUGAGGGUAUCAAGCAGUUUUAUGUCAAUGUUGAGAAGGAAGAAUGGAAGCUUGAAACACUCUGUGAUCUUUAUGAGACUCUGGCCAUAACCCAGAGUGUCAUCUUUGUGAACACUCGGCGAAAGGUCGACUGGCUUACUGACAAGAUGCGAAGCCGUGACCAUACAGUCUCUGCCACUCAUGGGGACAUGGAUCAGAACACCCGAGAUAUCAUUAUGCGUGAAUUUCGCUCUGGUUCUUCUCGUGUUCUCAUCACCACUGAUCUGUUGGCUCGUGGUAUUGAUGUGCAGCAAGUUUCACUUGUCAUAAAUUAUGAUCUGCCGACUCAACCAGAAAACUACCUUCACCGUAUUGGACGAAGUGGUCGAUUUGGAAGAAAGGGUGUUGCCAUUAAUUUUGUGACAAGGGAUGAUGAGAGAAUGCUUUUUGAUAUUCAAAAGUUCUAUAACGUGGUCAUUGAGGAGCUGCCUUCAAAUGUUGCUGACCUUCUUUGAGGAGGUUCUGUUUUUUGUAAGUUUGUCGAGGCAAGAAGGGGUUUCCUGAUUUUGCAAGUACUAUUUAAUGAAGGUUCAUGCUUGUGUCGGUGGGACAAGUGUUCGCGAGGAUCAGCGCAUUCUUCAAGCUGGUGUUCAUGUUGUUGUUGGCACUCCUGGUCGUGUGUUUGACAUGCUGCGCCGACAGUCUUUACGCCCUGAUUACAUUAAGAUGUUUGUACUGGAUGAGGCUGAUGAAAUGCUUUCCCGUGGUUUUAAGGAUCAGGUUUGUUAUUGUAUAUAUAUUGAUUGCACUUCUUUGCUUGGUUACCAUGUCUUGAUAGUUCCCAAUGGAGUUCUUUUAUGCGAUUUACUAAUUACUGUUUUCUGGUUGUCAGAUCUAUGAUAUUUUCCAGCUGCUUCCAGCUAAAGUUCAGGUGGGGGUUUUCUCUGCUACAAUGCCUCCUGAGGCCUUGGAGAUUACAAGGAAGUUUAUGAACAAGCCUGUGAGAAUCUUGGUUAAACGUGAUGAACUCACCCUUGAGGGUAUCAAGCAGUUUUAUGUCAAUGUUGAGAAGGAAGAAUGGAAGCUUGAAACACUCUGUGAUCUUUAUGAGACUCUGGCCAUAACCCAGAGUGUCAUCUUUGUGAACACUCGGCGAAAGGUCGACUGGCUUACUGACAAGAUGCGAAGCCGUGACCAUACAGUCUCUGCCACUCAUGGGGACAUGGAUCAGAACACCCGAGAUAUCAUUAUGCGUGAAUUUCGCUCUGGUUCUUCUCGUGUUCUCAUCACCACUGAUCUGUUGGCUCGUGGUAUUGAUGUGCAGCAAGUUUCACUUGUCAUAAAUUAUGAUCUGCCGACUCAACCAGAAAACUACCUUCACCGUAUUGGACGAAGUGGUCGAUUUGGAAGAAAGGGUGUUGCCAUUAAUUUUGUGACAAGGGAUGAUGAGAGAAUGCUUUUUGAUAUUCAAAAGUUCUAUAACGUGGUCAUUGAGGAGCUGCCUUCAAAUGUUGCUGACCUUCUUUGAGGAGGUUCUGUUUUUUGUAAGUUUGUCGAGGCAAGAAGGGGUUUCCUGAUUUUGCAAGUACUAUUUAAUGUGGUGGAUAUUUUCUCCCCUUUUUUUUUUUUUUUUUGGUUUCUUCUUCCUUUCCGUCUAGUGUCUUAAAUUAAUGUUGUUCUCAAACAUAUCCGACCAUUUAAUCAUAUGGGUCAUGCACAUUUGCAAGCUGCACUGUGGUGGGUUUAUAAUUAUUGAAAUUUUUGUUGCUGUUAGGUCUUUGUAUUUUAUGUCCUUUUGUUAUAAAUUUUAUUUCUAUUAUAAUUGUUUAGCAGAAGCCGGUUAUUAGAUUUAUCAUCAAAGGCUUAUAUACUUGGUGUGUCUGGGGAAAUGAUUUGGGUGGUGUUUUAAUAUUCUUUGCAUUGUUUUUGUUUGGCAAAAUGUUUUUUUCCCAAUUUUUGUUGAGCAAGAUUGAAUCCUGAAUUUUCUUUUUGAGAAAUACGGAAUCUGCUUUAAUACACGUUUCCGAGAGGUUCUAAUGUUCUAUUAUCUUGACGCCUGAAAUAAUUUUUUGUUUACUCGUGCUUGGAAUUUUGAAACAUGGCAUGAUGAGUCUUCAGGCCCCUUUUUGGAGCAGCCACAGCACGAGCAGCAAGAGAGUACAAGACUGGCCAAAAUGAAAAGGACGCUUCAAGACGACGUACGUUUACAUUUGAAAUUAUUGAAGUUUUAUUGUAGAAUGAUUUUAUUGGCCGUCUUCGAAGUGAUCACGUCAUGUUUCCAUGUUUUGAAAGAAGAAGAUAGUCCAAUCUUGCGCACAGCGCACUGAUGAUACUUAUUAGAAUCAUGCCAUAUUUUCAACUCUGUUGGGGUCCAUAGUUGUCAAAUCUAAUAAUUUGGAGUCGUCUCGUCUCGUCUCAUCUCAUGGGCCGGGACCAUGGUUUAACCAAUCACCAUUGAAUGUUGAUUCCCGCUGGUCAAAAUUCUAUCACCACAGCUGAUGACCAGCUGAUGAGCCUUUCAAGAUAAUGACUUUCACGAGUUUCUCGCAAACUCACUUUUAAAUGGACAGAUUGAUGCUUUUAAGUAAGGUUUAGAAGUCUUUGAUUGCCAAUAACACAGCAAAGACGUAAUUUUAAAUCUUAAAAAACACUCUAUUGUACCAUAUAAUAUUGGACAACAAAUUAGGCCAUGCUUGAUGUUAAGGCCUUUUGAUCAAUCAAUUUUAACAACGCAUGCAUAACAAGCAAGCCUGCCACAGAACUACCCGGUCCACCUGGCAAAUCUCAUUUAAGAUGAGGCAAAACUAGUAGCUGCAUCAGCCUCGUGCAGACUGGAUUGUGUGAAUCAAAGUUGAAAAUGUCAAAACUCCUUAAAUUCCACCAAAGAAAAAGUACUCUGUAUGAAUAGUUAAAAAGGCUCAAGACACCCACCUUGUGAUGCUCCCAACAAAUCUUAAAUAUUGCAAGCAAAAGUUCACAACACAACACCACCGCCACCUUUACUAAGUGAUUUCAAAUCUCCAUUUUUCUCCUCUAUUCUCUCACUCAUUCUUGAAUCUCUUUCUUUUCUUGGAUUCAAAUGGAGAAUUAUAGAUCCAAAUCAUGCAAAAUUGAUAGCUUUUAUGAUGGCAAGGCAACAGCGCCGACAAGCAUGCAGGAUUUGCGAUGUUUCAGUGCAAGUUAUGCCACCCCAACACAGCCAAACGAUCAACAGCUAGGAAAGAAGAGUAAGUUGAAGAAAAGCAAAAGCACUUUUGGGUCAGCAUCAAAGAGCUGGAGCUUCAAUGAUCCUGAGCUGCAGAGGAAAAAGAGAGUUGCCAGUUACAAAGUCUACACCGUUGAAGGCAAAAUGAAAGGGUCUCUGAGGAAAAGCUUAAAGUGGGUCAAGAACACAUACACUCAAAUUGUCCAUGGAUGGCAAUGAUCAAAUGGUGAAAUGGGUAUCUCUUUCCUUUUUUCUUCCACUUUUUCUGAUCUCAGUUUCACAUAAAAGUUACAUGUGUCUGAGUUAUGUUACAAUAUUAUAACUUUAUUUUUUUAUUUUUCGUCUUUAUGUUCUUUGGGAUCUGAAGAGUCAAAUGUAUGCAGCUUAGACUUGGAUUUAGCAUAUUCUGUGCCUCAAUUAUAUAAAGCCAGAGUGUUCAAGAUCUAUGAUAGUUAUGGCGUAACUAGAAGAAAGUGUUGACAGAUUUGUGCUUGAUCCAAGUUCUGCUCAUGCAAGAACACGUCUUUUGUAUUUUUGGUGUGAUAUGAGCUUAAAGAAAUUUUUACUCAAAAUCUCACAGUAGGACUAUUUUGACUUUGCAACUAUUUAUAAUUUUAUAUAGGGUAGUGGGGAAUUGAAUAAGUUGGCUGUGAAAAUUAUUGAUUGGGAUUGCAGCAAAAAAUUUUGUAGAAUCAGUUUAUGACGCUUGAAGAAUAAUUUAACAAGUUUUUAAUUGGACUAAAACUGUUAAACGAAGACUUUUAGGUUGGUCAAAGAAAUUUUGUAGAAUCAGUCUGUCAUAUAACUGUACAUAUGACAGAACAUGGCACAUAGACAUUGAUGGAUUCAGAUUUCUUCCAAGUUCCAUCCAAUGUUCACCAAGAAAGCCAAAUGUAUGUUGUCCACGACAACACAAGAAAGCUGCCUACUAUACCUAAAGCUUCAGUCUUCUUGCAUGGAUAUAAUCCCAAGUAAAAUAGUGCACAAAUAUAAACAAAAACCUUCUUAAUUCUGAUAAGAACUGGGAUCCAAAUCAUAAAUCUCUUGCACUGCCUGGGAGAGAAUUCAAAAUUCAAAGCAUUAGUUCAUGUAACAAGCAAACGCUGCGGAAAACUUUGUCAAUACAGAAUCACUUUCUGAAAUCAGUUUGCUACCAGGCCUUUGGCAGUGUUACCUGGAAGGUAAAUCGAUUUCAAAAGCUCAACCAGACGGUCAAGGUUUUGAUACGGUACCAAGAUUUGAGUUUUGACAAAUAACGUAACGUACAAGUUAUGAGCCCAGGUUCAAAACUUUAGGAUCUUCUGUGCACCAAACUUUAAAUAAAACGUAAAAGUUUUUCAUCCCCCGGUGUGAGAAAUGAGAUUCUCGUAUCUGUACUAACAUCCACAACAAGCAUAACACAGCUUCUAUAGUAACCAAACCCCAUGCAAGAUUGACAAGAAGCCCGGGUUAAGCUUUCUUUCAAGAAAUAGAAAUUAUGCAGAGAACAUCAAUUCAAGUUUCUAGAGACUCAGAGAUUUUGUCUGCAAAAAUAAGUAGUUAUAGCACAACAAAAGAGAGAUACUUACAAAUAGAAGGUCUGGCCUUUCUUGUUAUCAUGAUUGAUCAUGACAAUUGCCUGGUCAAAAUUUUACAAGUCACUAUAUGGUCUUCAGCUACAAACACAGUUGCAAUUGACAUACAGGACACGGAACUUUUGACACUAGUAGUAGUGACAGUGUCAUUUAACUCAAACUGUAAACUUGGUAGCAGCCUUAAUUAAACCUAGGUAUUUAGACAAAAGCAUUUGACCUAGGUGGUUUUCUUUGAUUACCUCUUCUUUAUUGAGUACUUACAGUGCUAAUUUCCAUCUUGCACUUUGCACUAUGACUCCCUAAAACACAUUCCACAAACAACACGAUGCUCCACUCCAUAGGAGUGAUAAAGUGUAGCAUUACAGAAUUUACAGUGGAAGAGAUUUGGAAUCUGCUAAUGGUGUACCCUUUCAUUGUUAUUGAAAUGCAGGCUCUCGAUGCCUCUAAGAGUGGACUCAAAGUUCUUGAUGUUUGAUGUGCUCCUGCCAGAAGUUGUAUGCCGGUUUUCUGAUGAUACAACAGGUGAACUUCUUUGCCCACUAGAAAUCUUUUGAAAUGCUCCUGGGCUUGCAUCUGUGGUGCGAGGACGGGAGGGAUCAGUGUCACUCCCAACCACAGCUGCUUCACGACUGUUAGGUACAGCAACUCGCCUUGAUGAUCCACUUGAUCGCAAUAGGUUAUAACUAGACAUCUGCACAAGUCCAAGAAUGAGAAUAGUCCAAUUCGGAGAGGAGAACAAAGAGAUGAAAAUAAAGGACGGGAAAAAAAAGUCUAAUAUGAGCAGCAGCACCCGGGUUGAUUUGCAUGAGUUUGAAUUCAGAAAGACACAUUCACAUUCACCAAUUAUCCAGAAAAAAGUUGGGAAAACACUAUAACAGGUUCAGGAGGCAUGACAUAUGCAUUUAGGUUAAAGCUAGAAUCCCAAUUCUCGCAUGGAAACAGACCAAGUAAGAAGAACAUAACAAGGAAAUUCUAUCAUCAAAAGUACUAACCAUGGCAUCUUUAGAAAAUGCUGGAUCAUUUGCCAUUGGACUCUUUUGUUUGGACAAGUUUGCAGAAUUUCCAAGUGGUCCAGAAUUCCUCCUGCGAGAGGGAUCUGCUGAUGACCAACCAGUAUGUCUACCUUCUUCAGCACCUGCAGUCGAAAUUCACGCAACAUUAUACACAAAGUCGUAACACAUUUACAAUACAGUUUAGAAGGGAAGAUCCAGGAAUAAAACAAAAGCAGGAAGAAGAAAGAAGCAUAACUAACCCGAUUGCCUAUCAACAUUAGCAGCAGCAGGAGGCAUGCCACUACUUGGUCCAGCUCCAGGACCCUAUAUAAGAAAAUUAAAAUAUAUAAACAAUCAUUGAUUUUCUACAGGGCUGGAAGUGCAAGCAAAUAUAGAUAACUAUGAUAUUUCAACUUACAAUUGCACGGGCAGGAGUAGAAACUUGUGACUGCUGAUACUUCAAAAUUGUCCAAUCAAACACAUAAUCAAACUGGAAACCUGAAGCGAGAAGGUAAACAUACAAAUUGAAAAUGUGAUACAGUUGAUUCAUUAAAGACAAAUUUGAAAUUCCUUGGAGAACCAACUGUCAUAAUUCUCAGGCUAGUAUACCAUCUUAAAACAACAUAACAAAUGGCAAAGUUCAAACCUUCACGUAUAAAAAGGUCACGGAAGAGUCUUUUCAAAUAAGCAUAAUCUGGUUUAUCAUCAAAUCGCAGUGACCGGCAGUAAUGAAAAUAGGAUGCAAAUUCUGUAGGAUAACCUCGACAUAAGGCCUGACAAGCAGUGAUAUACCAAUGAGUUUUGAAAGCUGAAAACAGAACAUUAGAAUGAAGAUAGUAUUUCAUUCUAAGACAUGAGAUUACCUCAAUUGAAGUUGACACUUUCUUCUCACUGAUCUUCUCAUACUUCUGCUUCUUAGUUCCUGCUUUCAAUCCUUGCCAUGGAAGACUACAGAGACAUAGGUUCAAAACCAUAAAAAUACCAAGCAACUACAAAAUUAAUCUGAGAACACAAAGGUCAGCAGGAGUAUUGACCUUCCUCUUAAAAAAUACAUAAGAACAUAUCCAAGCGAUUCCAAAUCGUCCCUGCGGCUUUGUUCUGUGAAGAAAAAGAUUUGACAAUCAGUUGCCAGAUGCAAACAUAAGGUAAAAAAGAAAAUGGGAUGCAAUAGACAUACCAAUGCCAAGGUGAGUAUUCAUGCUCGCAUAUCUUGCGGUUCCAGUCAAAUUCUUAUUCUCUCUGCAGCAUACAAAUCAUGUCGCCGUUCAGUAAGUAACAGUUUCUUGAAAGGAAUCUAAACUUUUAAUGCAGCUUUAACACAAUAAAGGGUGCCCCUUCAACCAUUAAAACUGCAAGAAUUCAUCUGCUGAAAUAGUGGGUAAAAAAGACUAACCUAUAAGGUAUAUGCUGAUGUGUUGCAGUGUCUCUAUACCUCUUAGCCAAGCCAAAGUCAAUGAUAUAGACCUGUUUCCAAGAAAACAUCCAUAGAAACACAUCAAAAUAGAAGACAAAAACAAAGAUCGCAAUAAAACGGAGUUUCGUAUCACUCAAGACCUGAUUUGCACGCCUCCCUAAACCCAUUAGGAAGUUAUCUGGCUUGAUAUCCCGAUGUAGAAAUGACUUAGAAUGAACAAAUUCGACUCUAUUGAUCUGAAAGAACAAGAGAGUUGUCAGAAUAUAACCAAAUGCAAAGAAAAAAAAUAUAGCAAAAACACGCAUAAACCGAACAAAUAGUACCAUCUGAUCUGCGAGCAUAAGGACAGUCUUCAGCGACAGUUUCCUACUGCAGAAGUUAAAUAAAUCUUCAAGGCUAGGCCCCAACAAAUCUAUUACGAGGACAUUAUAGUCACCUUCAACACCAAACCAUCUCAGAUUUGGAAUUCCAGCUGCCAUUGAUGGCAACAGUAGGUAACAAGCAGUGAAAUCAAGCUAAUCAGUACACGAUGCAACUUUAAAAAGAAAAUGAAAGUAAAUGUAACAAGGACAAAAGGAAAGGUAACUACUUCCGCCUUGUAAUAUUUUAUACAACUUCGCUUCAUACUGCAGCUGAGGGUGCUUUGUUUUAACAUUCUCCUAUGAAAGAAAAUACUAUCAGACUUAAUGAAUUUGGGAACAAGCAAUAUCAUCAAGAAGGAAAAAUACUAGAACAGAAAGAAAACUAAUACAGUUAAAUCGGAUAACAAAACAAAGAAGAAGAGAUAGUGAAAAUUUUAUUUAUCAACAAUGAAGUUCUGCAAGCGCAAACUGCCUUCAACAUUUGAACCCAAAGAAAAAGAGAGUAUAAUCAUUGAAGUCACUGUUAGGACAUGGUAGGUGAAUCUCUCAACUAAAUCUCAUAAGAUACAUAACAGAUUAUUGUUGACAAGUGUGACUACCACGCUGGCUUAACUUUACACAAAACCUGGAUUAAUCUUGCAUCAAUUUUAACUUAAGAAAACUCCAAAAUAAGCAAAGGUCAUUGGCAGAACUAAAAAACCCCUUUUUCCGCCCUCAAAGGAUUGCGGUAACAAAUUAAAGCAAGCUUAAAUUUCAUUCUCAAUCUCUUAAAGCAAGCUUAUAUUUUCCUAAUAAAUAAUCAUUCAUCAACUCACUCUCACUCACUCACUAUCGCAUUCUUAGUCCAUCAUUCAACAAAAAAAAAAAAACAAUAUUUACCCUUAAAACCCAAACAACAACAAAAUUAAUAACGACUAGCAAACUAACAUAACAAAAAAAAAAGGUCAAUUUUUAGCUGAAAUUCAAGCAAACAAUUACUACCAUAUAAUUUCUUACAAAAUACACAAAUUCAAUACACUCACAAGCUUAAUUGCAACUUCCUCAUUAGUCUGAAUAUUAGUACCUGCCCCCAAAAAAAAAUUAAUUAACAAGGGGAAAAAAAGCAAUUAGCGGUAAAAAAAUACUAAACUAGUGAAAAAUACAAACCUAGAUAGAUCUCUCCAAAGGACCCGCUACCGAUCUUUCGACCCAACCGAAACUUGUUUCCAACGCGCGGUUCCAUAAUUAAAACAAAAAAUUUAAAAAAAAAAUUGAAAACCCCAGAAAAACUAAAACCCAAAACAAAAAGGCAAAAGCUUUUGUACAAAAUCCGAUCGUACAAAACGAACUGAGAAUUUCGAUCACCGAAUUGGAGAAGCCCAAAUGAAGAUCGGAGGUAAAAGAGAGUUUGGGGACAUGGGCGGAAUUAAAAAGAAAACUUUCUCUCUCUGACUAGAGAGAGAGAGAGAGAGAUGAGAAAGCAUUCGUUGUUUGGUGGUGGUGUCGUUGAAGUUAGAUUGUGGGCUUUUUGCCGCUUUGAUCCAAUCGAAGACUAAAGGGCUGUGAUUGUCUUUUCUUUAUGAAACGACGGCGUUUAGGCUUUCUACCGCCCGGAUAACGCUGAGCUUUUGGGAUAUUCCCCCUUGAGGGUUUCCUCACAUAUUGGCUAUUACUUUUGUCUUCAUUGACCGUUUAUUAGGUGUUAACUAAAUUGAAUACGAAGUUUCACCCAACAGAUAUAUCUCUUUGCCUUGCAUAUUGUUAAGAUCAGAAUCAUAUGAUAUUACCAACACAUAUAGUUGGUUAAACCUAAUGGAAUUGUCGGCUAAUAUCACCAGCGUCAUGUAAACAAUUUUGAAAAAAACGUUGCAUCAAGAUUCAAGGCAACGACCAAAACCCAAUAACAUCAUUGGGUGUUGGACUGGAAGGAACUUUGGUUUGGUAGUCUCCAUUACUUUUAAGAGAUUAUAUUUGAAACAAUCUGAGGACUUCGAGAAUUCUCAGUAAAUGCUUUGUUUUGACCUCCAUUUUGAUAUAGAAAUGGUCCGGGGUUGAGCUGUUGAAGUUUUGAAGACCAGAGCAGAUGGCAAAUAUAAACUCUCUUCACAAGCUGUAACUAUCUCAUCAGUCAAUAUAAAUAGUGUUACACUUACAUACAAAGACAUCAGCUCCAUGGCCUUUUGUUGUGCAAUGCAUAAGCUUUGACCAACCCCGCGUGAACAGAUAAUAAACAAUAUUAAGAAAAUGAAUUGGAGAGGGGCGGCGAGGUAAAACUGUAAACGGCCAAAAACCCUAGAGACUUUUGCUAAAGGAAAUUGAAAAAUCAUAGGCAUUGUUAUGAUGGGGACAAUACAUUUUGCAAAGCUAAAGAGGAGGUCUUCCUAUGUAAUCUUACUUUCAACUGUCUCAUUUUUGCCUCCACCCUUGCUGUGAACCCAAUCUUGGUUUCUUGCCUUGCCUUCGAUCUUUCCCUAGUCCACAUGUGUCGAUCCUCAACAUCUUUCUUGUAGUACUUGAUUUCUUGAAUAACAUGAUGAUCCAUGGGUUUGAAACAUCUUUGAUAGGCUACGUAGGUGAAGUAAAGGAGAUUACAAGCAACAGUUACCACUAUGGUGGCUAACCAAAACAUCGGUGCAGGAGCAAGGGCUUCAACGAGAAUAUGGUGCGCAUACCCAGAUGUAGAGGGAGACGUCAUUCCGAAAAGUAAGAGAAACACAUACCAAGCUGCAAUGCUGCCCCAGAUAAACAAGUGUUGGAUCCAUGUGAAAUGGCUUAUUGUGAGAGCAAUCUGAACGUUAACAACCCAGAUGAUGGAAGUGAACAUUGUAGCACCCACGACGGCCAUGUCAGCAGUCUGGCCUCCAGCACGAAAAGCUUGGUCAUGGAAAAUGGCCAUAAUGAGGGUGAAAAUGGUGAUAGAGGAAUAGAUUCCAUUGCCAAUCCAACCAAAUAUUCUGUACCAAUCAAAAAACAAAUUUCUCGGCCCUUGCUGAUACAGAGCAGGGAACUGUAGAAGAUAUAAAACUGUUACAAUCUAGCCAAGAGAGAAACGGACAAAAUACUUCAAAUGGGGUUCAUCAGCGGGACGUACCUGUAAGCAGAUCUCAGAGGAAACAUCUUGUUCAAAAACCCCAAGUGAAAUGACAGGUAAUGCAGUAAGAACAACAUUAAAGGACAGCAUAUACCAGUCAUUAUAAACAGACUGCCCAGAAAAGCUCGCAAAUGCCUCGAAGUAAAAGAGGGUGAGACCGAAUGCAAUAUUUUUGUAGAAAAAAUAGCAAAUCUGAUUCCAAAACAUCAUGGUUAGAAAAAUGAAUUAGAGAUAAAGAAGACACGUGCAACGUAUAUGGAAAUAGAAAAUGCAUGAUUAUGAAACCUUAAGUUGGGAAAUCCCUUAAGUUGGGAAAUCCUUGAUUAUUACCAUCUGAGCAAUCCUCUUGUAGCACCAGUGUCCAUGGACUACCAGGAGUCUUUCCAAAAAUCGAAACUGUGCAAUAGAGAAGUCACUAGCCAUCACAGCCUACAAAAUGUUGCAAAUUUAGCAAUUUUCAGACUGCAGUCCGCAAUGUCAAAAGCAAAAACUUGGAUGCACUUUCUCAUAUCAUGUCCUCACAAGACAAUCUAGAAAAUAAUUAUGAACCUCAGACAUUAUGUCCAAGAAAUUCAAACAUUAGUGACGUCAUCAAUUAGUAUUCAAAGUACACUGGUUUCUGACAUUCCUACAGCUCCUGAAAUUUGGUUGCUGCUAUGAUAUUUAAACUGUAUGAAAAAGCAGAGUUUAGAAUUUUAAAGAAGAGAGAGAUAGAGAAACGUAAGAAAGAACCUUAUUACCGUUUCUAUAGAAUCAUCAAAACAAAAGAAAAAAAAAAAACCAAUUAGAUCAGGUGCCUACCUGCAUACCUUCCACCCCACUGAUGCCAAUACCAAUGUCAGCUUCUUGAAUCAUUCCAACAUCAUUUGCACCAUCACCAAUUGCCAAGGUGGUUUUACCAGUGCCUUCUUUCACUAACCUUGUUACCUGGUGCCAAAAGUUGAACAAAUGAAAACAAGACCUAGCAAGAAUGUAUGAAGAAGAUCUUGUCUGUUGCCUAAAUACAAGAGAAGCUAAUAACUAAAAGCAGUAAACGGCAAUUUUGGAAGAGUGAAGUAACUGAUGAGAAACAGUACCAGUGCCUUCUGCUUGGGAGACACACGACAGCAUAUGACAGAUGCGCACUCAACAGCUAAUCCCAAAAAAUGAUGCUUCAUAUCAUCCUCCAAAGCGUAGGCCAGUGUUUUUCCCUCAAUUAUUAAUGCAUAUGCUGCAUGUGGAUCUCUCUCUAGCUUGAUCAUCUGUGAUGCAUUGGUGAUUUGCAUCAAAAUGUUGUCCUUCACAGCCUGUUUAGAAACGAAACACAGCAAAGACUAACAUCAAAUGGAAUCAAUUUCCUGCAAAAUGAAAAUGAUAUACUUUUUUCUAAAAAUUAUACAUAUAGAAUUACCUCUUUGGCAGCUUUUCCUACUGAAUCUGAGUUCAAUGCUGUUAUACAUAUCUGCUUCAUGCCUUGUCGAAGCAAACUGCAUGCAAAUCUGCACCAUGCCGGAAAAUAUUUCAUUAUAUUUGUUUCAUAGUCCAGAAGAUGCCUAGUUUCAGGUAACAGAUUCUAAUAAAAUGUGUUAUAGACUAAGAAGAGCCUGAUAGUUUUAACUUAAGAAACAAACCCUAUGUUGAUUGCAGUUUCCAUCUUAUCUCCAGUCAAGACCCAGAUCUUGAGACCAGCUUGUGCAAGUUUAUCUAUGCACUGGGGCACCUAAACAAAUUAUGGAUAAAAUUAGGUUGAAACCAAACAAAAGGAGAAUAUACUGAUCAUAGCUAUAGGGCAAAGAUAAAAUAUACCCCUUUCUGCAAUUUGUCCUCCACAGCAGUAGCACCAACAAGGAUCAAGUCUUUCUCCAUCAUAUCCGACACAUGCUCAAGCGUUGCCUCUCUGUCAGCCCCAAUAGAAGAUUUGGCCUUUUGAAACUCACUGUUCCAGGCAGAAUACUCAGAUUCAUCAAGCUGUUUGUAAGCAAGUGCCAAUGUACGCAAUCCAGCUUCUCCAUAUUCAUUCAAAUGCUUUGUAGUAGCUUCUUCAUACAUUCUUCCAUUCUUUGAUAGCCGGUCAAAAAUGAUGCUGCACAUUCCAAGCAAAGGAAUCAUGCAUGGUGAGGCACAAAGACAGGGUUGCUUAAGUCAUCAAACAGUAUAGCUAACAGUGGACCAUCUGUGCACCCACCAAAAAUCAAUGAAGCAAUUUGAACACCCACAAACAGCAGAUGUAAGCUGACUGAAGAUUCUAUGCAUGUUAUCAUAUCAAUGGUCCAGGCCUCUAACUGGGAGUCAAAAAGUUAAAAAGUAAUGGCGAGGCUAACCUGUCGGCACCUUUGCAUAAGAGAAGUAUCUGCCCAUCCUCGUCCCGAACAAUCACACUCAUUCGCUUUCUUUUGCUGGUAAAAUCCAAUAGAUUGAGAAUUUUGAACUCUCUGCAAAAUUUCCAAAAGACGAACCAGUUAGACACUCAGAAUUUGAGGGAAAUUAGUAGGGGAAAAGAGUUCAUACAAGGAAAAUCCAUUCAUAUCCUCACCUUUCAACCGGUUGUCCUUUAGGAGGAUAUCUUUCACGGAUAAACACACUUGAUUGAGUCCUUCUAUAAAACUCAAAGCCAAAUUCCCUGGCAGCAACAAGAAAAGCCGCUUCAUCAGGUGACUCUGCUUCAUAUGUCAAAUUGCCAGUCUCUUCAUUCAGCUCAGGAAUAGCAGUGUGACAAAUUGCUAAAAUUCGGAAAAACAACAACAAGGUAUCUACAUUAGGUUCUUUCAACCAGUUUCCAUCCAUAAGCCGGCUAUCCUCAAAGUUAAAACCCUUUAUCCGACGCUUAAAAUCGUUUCCAUCAUUAGAAGUGAUGACAGUCUCCAAUUCGAUUUCUGAUCCACUAUUUUUAUGCUUUGCAUUGGCAAUCUCCCUAUUCUGCUCCUCAAGGUCAAUAGCCAUCUGUUUUGCUGCAGCAAGUUCAACUUCACUAGGGCUCACACCAUAUGCAGUUCCUGCAACGGAACACUUCAAAAAGUCCAUCUGAUUGCAGGUCAAAGUGCCUGUUUUAUCAGAGAGGAUGGUAUCUACUUGGCCCAACUCCUCGUUCAGAUUUGAUGUUCUCGCUUGCGCAGGAAUCCCACUUUCAUCAUCAUACAUACUUAUGUCUUGGUUAAUGAAGAUCGCUUGCAAAAACUUCACAAUCUCAAUUGAAACAUAAAGCGAGAUAGGAAUUAAAUAUCCAUAAAGAAUGAGAGCAGUAACCAGAUGGGCCAGCCCGGGCACAAGGGGCUUUACAGGAUUAAAGUACACAUCAGUUUCCUUGGGUUUUAGGUACCACCACUGUGGUGUUUGGUAAUUUAUCUUCACAGCAAAGCCUAUUGAGCUGAUUAACGAUAUUAGCACAAGAAUAGCAAAAAGGAUGAAUAUUAUCUUAUCCAUUUUUUUCUCAAUUCCGCUCCUUUUUGAAGGAGAGGUUGUUGCAUUCUGCAUGACUUUGCUAUCAUGACCAGUGAAUAUCACAGAGCCAUAGACAUGAGCAGUAUUCCUGAGCUUAGAAUCUCUGAGAAGGAUCUGACUAGGAUCAAUUGCAUAAAGCUCACGAUCGUACUCAAUAUUUCCAACAAAAGUGUAAAGACUCGGGUUAGGAUUUUCACACUUUACUGUUCCUGUGAAUUCCUUGAAAGCCUCGUCUUCAUUUAAAGGUGAAGUUGCCUCCAUUGCUCUUUUCACCUUCAAAUUUGUCUCACCAUCUAAGUUCAUAGUCUCCACAUAACAAAUUCCAUCCUCAUAACUUGAUGACAAGAAAAGUAAAUCAGCUGGAAAAAAUUGAUCCUUCUCUACUUUCACUAUAUCUCCAACCUGAAUCUUCUCCCAUGGCUUGUAACUAAAAACACCAUUCCCAACAUGAACACUUACUUUCCGGGCAUUGACCUCUUUAUCCUGCAUAAAUCUACGCCAAUCUUCUAAAGCUUCCUUUGCCAUGCUUACCCCUACAACAAUUGCCAAGGGAAGAAGCAUACUUACAGGAGAGAAUGGCGAAAGUGGUGUCACUGAAAGAAGCGCAGCAAUAAGGAAGUAAAUAUUGGCAACUCGAUUGAAUUGUUCAAAGAGUGCCUUGGGAAAAUAUGAGAAAAAAUUGUACUUUGUGGUUGAUAUAUAAUUGGUGCAAUACUUCAAGGGUCUUUUCUUGUGCAUAUGAGGUUGAUUGCAAUAUAUAACUCUGGGGCACCCCUGUACUGACCCCUCGGUUUCAUUGACAUGCGGCCUGAGGCAAGCAAACGUAUAGAGCUGGCUCCUUCUGAGUUUUGCCCUAAUCCUGCCUCUUGUCAUGACUUAAAAUUCAAGCUCAAAAGGAGUUAUCUUAGGCACACAACCAUCAAAUAAGAACCCCCAACCUUGCUUUCGGCCUUAUAUUAAUGGUGCCCCGCGAGUACAAUUUCUUCCCUUAAGACCUAAUUACACAGGACCAUAAUGAAAAAGAUCAAUAUGUAUAAUAAAUUGCUACACUUAAUGAAAUCAGAUUAAAGGUCAAAUAGAUGCAUUGACAAAACAUUAUAUCAUGCAAAGCCAACAUCAUAAAGACAAAAAUCAAGUUCAUACAUUAAGAAGCACCAACAUCCCAUUUUAAGGGAAGACAUUGAUAUCUUUCUUGAAUAAUUCCACGUGCUCAGAUUUCUAUAUUCUGUACUGUGUUUAAAAAAGGGGAAAAAAAGUAGAAAAUUACAACAGAAUUACCCAAAAAUGAAAAUAAAUUCGACACAUUCAAUUAUAACCAAAACUUUUAAUGCAAGACAAAAUUCAAAAUUUACAGCUCAAAUCACAAACCCAGUUGCAUAUCCUUCAAAAAUCCAAUGCACUCCACAAAACCAGAGAAAUAAAAAUAAAAACACAAGAUAGUGACACAAUGCCAGCUGAAAAAAAAUGAAAGAAAAAAUCUCUUCAAUCAUUGCAACUCCAGAUUCCUCGAACUACAAAUACCCACCAAUUCAAAAAGACAAAACACAACAAAAUCAACCCACAAAAAAUAUUAAAAAAAUUAACAAAAAUGAGUUUUUUAUAAGAUGGUACCUGCAAUCAGGAGGCUGGUUCAUCCUCAAAACAAAAGAUUAAAGACACCCAUUUUGCCAAAACUCUCACAAAGGGAGAUGGUGGGUUGCAGAUCAAGAGAAGGUCUCAAAUUUGAACGAAACGUAUUAUCUUUUCUUUUUUUUUUCAAAUUGUUUUUCUUUUUCUUUUAGUCUUGAAAGAAGGGAGAAGAGAGAGAAGGGACAGGGUUUUGGACCCCUUUCUCUCUCCUACUGGAAAAACAAAACCAAUACCAGGAAUUUCCGGGGGUCCUUCUCUUCAUUUAUUUAUUAUUUAUUAUAUUUUUACACUCAUUUUUCUCAUUGGAUUUUUUUUCCACUUAAUUAAUUAAUUACCUGGAAUAUCAGAAACUCAAUUAAAUAUUUUCGUUAUUAGGAGGAAAUGAGAACCAAUGUGAUUGAAAAAAUAAAAAUAACAAUAAGUACGUGGCAAGUUCUUCAAACCUUAACUCAUAUUUACCCGCUCAUGUUCUGUCUCUUUUUCACUUUUGCCAAAAAUAGGAUUAUAUUUGGAUGCUUGAGAUUUCGACAAGUGUACUCAUACAACAGAAGUAGUUACUGUCAUUCUUUACAGAUUUUACUUGGAUUCUUUCUUUUUCUUUUCCAUUGAAAGGGUUUUUACUUGGAUUCUAAAAUCUAAAUCCCUAUUUCCCUCUUGGUUCUUUAUAUACUAUUGUGUUGCAAUAAUCAUUUAUGAAACAGUUUUUCUAUGUCCCAAGUGAAAUUCAUUUAAAAUUAUCUUUUUUCUUACAGAGCGUGCAUAUACUGAUAUCAAAUUUUAUUAAAGAAAUCUUUAAUCUCAAAACUUAAGUUAAUAGGUAAAUAUUCUCUCCUUUUAUAUAAAUAAUAGAAUAUUUGAUUUCGAAUAACUCGUGUGGGUCUAGAGAGAUCAAACCAGAGUGCCAACAAAAACAACUCUCCCUUAUAAGAGUAAUGAUAGGCAUCUUAAAUUUUUUAUCUCAAAUGAUGUGGUAUUCAUUAAUUAGUUGAUAACUCUUUACAAAAAUCCAAUGAAUUAAUUGUAUUAUCCCAAGAAAUAAAUUAAUUAAUUAAUGCCUUAAUUAUUUGGGAUAAAAAAAAAUGAAAUAUAUAGCACUACCCCUCUUAUAAUGUGAAACAAAUCUAAUUCUAAAGUCUCUUAGAUCCCGGAGAUCAAAACAGUAAGUUAAAAGUUGAAACGAUUUUGUAAGUGAAAAAACAUACACAAAACCUAAUUUAGUACCAUGUUAAGAAAAUUACUUCAUUUGAAAAGAUUACUUCAACAACCAAUUGAUAAAUGCCACAUCAUUUAAAAUAGUUAUUUGGGGAAAUUUUUUUGAACAUAUGGCAUUACUCCUCUUAUAAUGUGAAACAAAUCUAAUUCUAGAGUUUAUUAUAUUUCAGAGAUCAAAACAAUAGGAUGAAAGUUGAAACAACUUUGUAAGCGGAAAAUCGUACUCAAAACCUUUGCUUAAUUUAGUACCAUGUUAAGAAAAUUACUUCGUUUAAAAGCUUUACUCAUGAAGGUAAAAAAAAUUGAAUAAUAAAAGUUAUUAUCAAAUCCCUUAGCAAGAAUAAGCAAAAUAAUCCCCUAUCCAUUGGAACAUAAUGCUAGAAGCAGGAUUAAAUUUAUGGUAUUUUCACCAGUAAAUGCUGCACUGGAUAACAGAUAUGCAGAUCUGUUCCCAGAAUAUAUCUGCACAGGGAGAGCAUGUUUUGAUGGUCAACUUUGUACAACAAAUAUAUAUAUAUAUAUAUAUGGUUAGAAAUGUAAUCAAAUCACACGGUUGUGAUAGCACUGAUGGUUUAUUAAGAAGGCCGACGUGGGUCCCAAGUUGAGGCCUCCCAUACACCACCAGACGGAUUAAUUAAUCUAGGCACAGCCAUUUUUUUAUUUUUUUUAAUCAAUGAUUCAAUCUUCAUACCUGCGCCUUUGACUUUUUAUUAAAUAAUUUUCACUUUUUUUUUUUUGUUUUUCCAAUUUUUAUAUAGUUGGCAAAUUACCAACAAUGUCGUGUGGAUGUAAGGUCGUCUGAGGACGGCAAAAUUUUUUCUCUCUCAUUGAUUUGUUGUAGCGCAUAUUUUUGUUCCAUUAAUUUCUACCAAAACAUCAUAAACUAAUUAAUUUAAUAAAUGCUUUUUAUUUUUCUAUUUGGAUUAUUUAUUAUAUCAAGGUGGCCUUGGCAGCGUCUCAAGAGUACUGCCUAGAUAUUGAUUACUAAUAAGCUUUUCAGAUUGUACAUGCUUUAUCCAUUCUUGAAACUUGUUGCUAAAGUCAUGGAUUCAAUCAAUUAAAGGAGAAUUUCUUUAUAUAAUUUGAUUAAUAUCAAAUGAUCUGGAGAUUAUUCAUAAUAUUUCGACUACAUAAGAAUUCAUUAUUUGAAAGCAAAAAAAAAAUGUACUUUCUUAAUUGACAAGAAGAGUCAAGAGGAUCAAAUGAUCUCCUCAUAAUAAUAAUAAUAAUUAUUAUUAUUAUCUUAAAUAUCUACAUUAUAAAAUAUUGAGCUAUAAUAAAAUACUCGACUGGCGACAUGCCCAAUAAUGAUUGAAAUUUAAAAUUGUAAUUAGUUCAUGGGUGCACGCCAUGACCAUCACGUCUUGUACCAAAAUCAAAUAUUAAAAUUGAAUAUUAUUAUAAUUAUACUAAAUUAAAUAUUUAUUGUUGUUUCAUGUCUACAAUGUCCUUGUAAUUUAUGCAGUGGGUUGGCGGUUUCUUUCAGGAGACCAAAUCAAUUAUGGGUUUAAAUAGAGAAUUUGGAUUAAGACGAGAACUUAAAGUUAAGGGAAAAGGUUGCCAACAAUCAAUAAUUAAUUCAUUUCUUUUCAUUUGAUUGACGUACGUGCCCAAUAUGCCUCACUAUUGUCUAAUUUGUCUUUAUUAAAUUUUAUCCAGCAUGCACCAACAAAGUGUUGGCUUCAUUGGUAAUGGAGUUCCCUUAAGUAGCUUGACUGAGUUUGCUUCCCAGUUCGAGUCGCAAGGAAGUCGUCUUUGUUGGGAGAACCUGUGUCUCCCGGUUCGAGCGGGGACUUCUAGUCCGGGUUGUGGUACGAGCUUAAAGGUGUCUCUCACAGUUGGGGCCCUCCCCAAAAUAUCUCGUGAUUAAUAUAAAAAAAAAAAAUUUAUCCAGCAUGCAGUCUGUGCAGCGACUUAUUAAUAUUUGCACUUUUUUUAAUUGUUAGAAAAUUUGAAGAAUAACUAUAAUAAUGAGACUUAAUUAAAUGGGUCGGUAGCAGCACGAAAAGCAAAUGACAAUUGUUCAUGGAACAUUCCAAACUCUUUUAACAUUAUCAAAUGUUUUUAGGUGAACAUAUUUUUUUGUGAAUCACCACUGGCUAAUUAAUUAAGGAGUAGUCAUCGGGGUUUUAAAUAGUUUGUUUUGUGAUGCAUUUGUUCGAGCGGGGAUUUCUAGUCCGGGUUGUGGUACGAGCUUAAAGGUGUCUCUCACAGUUGGAGCCCUCCCCAAAAUACCUUGUGAUUAAUAUAAAAAAAAAAAAAAUUUAUCCAGCAUGCAGUCUGUGCAGCGACUUAUUAAUAUUUGCACUUUUUUUAAUUGUUAGAAAAUUUGAAGAAUAACUAUAAUAAUGAGACUUAAUUAAAUGGGUCGGUAGCAGCACGAAAAGCAAAUGACAAUUGUUCAUGGAACAUUCCAAACUCUUUUAACAUUAUCAAAUGUUUUUAGGUGAACAUAUUUUUUUGUGAAUCACCACUGGCUAAUUAAUUAAGGAGUAGUCAUCGGGGUUUUAAAUAGUUUGUUUUGUGAUGCAUUUGUUCGAGCGAGGAUUUCUAGUCCGGGUUGUGGUACGAGCUUAAAGGUGUCUCUCACAGUUGGAGCCCUCCCCAAAAUACCUUGUGAUUAAUAUAAAAAAAAAAAAAAUUUAUCCAGCAUGCAGUCUGUGCAGCGACUUAUUAAUAUUUGCACUUUUUUUAAUUGUUAGAAAAUUUGAAGAAUAACUAUAAUAAUGAGACUUAAUUAAAUGGGUCGGUAGCAGCACGAAAAGCAAAUGACAAUUGUUCAUGGAACAUUCCAAACUCUUUUAACAUUAUCAAAUGUUUUUAGGUGAACAUAUUUUUUUGUGAAUCACCACUGGCUAAUUAAUUAAGGAGUAGUCAUCGGGGUUUUAAAUAGUUUGUUUUGUGAUGCAUUUGUUCGAGCGAGGAUUUCUAGUCCGGGUUGUGGUACGAGCUUAAAGGUGUCUCUCACAGUUGGAGCCCUCCCCAAAAUACCUUGUGAUUAAUAUAAAAAAAAAAAAAAUUUAUCCAGCAUGCAGUCUGUGCAGCGACUUAUUAAUAUUUGCACUUUUUUUAAUUGUUAGAAAAUUUGAAGAAUAACUAUAAUAAUGAGACUUAAUUAAAUGGGUCGGUAGCAGCACGAAAAGCAAAUGACAAUUGUUCAUGGAACAUUCCAAACUCUUUUAACAUUAUCAAAUGUUUUUAGGUGAACAUAUUUUUUUGUGAAUCACCACUGGCUAAUUAAUUAAGGAGUAGUCAUCGGGGUUUUAAAUAGUUUGUUUUGUGAUGCAUUUGUUCGAGCGAGGAUUUCUAGUCCGGGUUGUGGUACGAGCUUAAAGGUGUCUCUCACAGUUGGAGCCCUCCCCAAAAUACCUUGUGAUUAAUAUAAAAAAAAAAAAAAAAUUUAUCCAGCAUGCAGUCUGUGCAGCGACUUAUUAAUAUUUGCACUUUUUUUAAUUGUUAGAAAAUUUGAAGAAUAACUAUAAUAAUGAGACUUAAUUAAAUGGGUCGGUAGCAGCACGAAAAGCAAAUGACAAUUGUUCAUGGAACAUUCCAAACUCUUUUAACAUUAUCAAAUGUUUUUAGGUGAACAUAUUUUUUUGUGAAUCACCACUGGCUAAUUAAUUAAGGAGUAGUCAUCGGGGUUUUAAAUAGUUUGUUUUGUGAUGCAUUUGUUGAUUGAUAAUUCCUUUUAUAUUGGCAUUUUUGUGAUUAUCGUGUCUAUUGGCGAUGGCUAGAAACCGACCCUACAAAUGAUUCUUUCGUGUUUUCCUAGCAAGAAAGUUCAUAGCGCAGCGAUAAUGCGACUAAUUAUUGAGUAUGUGACGUGCAAUUAAAUUUAAUAAAAUUAUCCUUUACAUCUUUUUAAAAUAAAUGAACUCAUGACAUGAUAUUAUUUGUUGGUUAUAUAAUUGAUAUAAUACUUUUAAUGUGUUCAAAAAUUUAUUAUUGGAAACGGUUCAUUUUCAGUCUCCUUAGCCUCUGUUUGAUAACAUCUUUUUAAAUAGUACUUAUUCAAAUAGAGUUUUUGUUUAAACAUUUCAGUUGUUUGGUUGUUAAUGAUAACUUUUAUUACAAAUUAUAAAAUUAAUUUAAUAGAUUAUUUUUUAAGUUAUGUUAUAAAAAAAAUAAAAUCGUUAAAUAAGUCCAAGAUAUUUUAUCAUUUUUACAUUUGAUAAAAGCAUUUCCACCUUUAUUCCGAAAAUUUCAAAAAUUGAGCGUUUGUUAGUAGACGUAAAAUAGUUUAUUUAACCUUAAAAAAUUAUAUUAAAAGUAAUUAAAUAACAACAAAAAUUUUAAUAAUAAUUUAUAAAAUUAAAUAAACACUUAUAAUAAUUAUGAGAUAAGCAACCAGUAACCAGUUAGCGUGUGCGCGUUUGAUGAUUGAAUUCUCCACUACUCAGGAAACAAGCAACGCAUUUUGAAGCACCUUUUUUUGUCAACUUGCAUGGACACGUCGGUUGUUGUGGAAAUUCAUGCUUAGUUACCGCCAUGAUCGUAGGAUUUGAAUUUGAACACGAACCUACGUGAAAAAAGAUAAAAGAAAAGGCAUUGAAAGAUCCUUUUUUAUAAUUCAUUUUUAAUAUUCUCAACGUUUUUUUUUUUUUAAAAGUCCUGAAACGUAAAUAUAGCCAUUAAGCUAAAAUAAAAUUUGUUUAGCGGCACUAGAAAUUUUGGUCCAGGGCAUUAUACAAUAAUAUAUGGUAUUUAAAGAUUAAAGUUGAAAGAAGAUGUAUGGAUUAUUGUCUAAUGAAUCAUAAGUAACAUAGGCCAAAAUAAAUAAGCAUGAUUUGAAGAUCUAAUUUAUAAAGAACCAUAAUCUUUCUUGUCUAUAAUAUAAUUUUAAAAAAAAAUUUAGGUCGUCAUAGAAAGCCUGUCGUUGUUAUUCUUAGGGCCAUUUGAGAUUGUUUUAACUCACUCUAAUUUACAAUAAUUUUGAUAAAUAAGAUGGUGUAGAUUUUUAAAAUUUAAUUUUGAGAAUAAGUUUUAUAAUAAAAAAAUUUCACAUAUAUUUAUCCUUAUUCAAGAAGGAAAUAAAAUGAGAAAUUUAAAGAGAUUAUUAUUACUGUUAUCAAUAAUAUUGAGAUAAUGGAAUAAAAAUAAAAUUAAUAAAAUAAAAUAUUCAUUUUAGUUAUCAAUUAUUAUAAAUGUGUAAAUAAAUUUUAUUCAACAUUAUGUCACUUCAGUCAUUUACAUUCUUAUAGCAAUUUAAUAGUAGGAUUUACAAAAUACAUAUGAUUGUUUAAAAACUAAAGCAUCAUCAAAUUGGCCUUUAAUAUUUCCCACAUUGAUGAUUUUUUGACAGUUUAUUUGAUAAAACAUGGGUAUCCUAUACUUUUGUUAAAGAAAAGGUUAAAAAAUAAAAAGUGAGCUAUAAUCACGGGCAGAAUAAUAUUACAGCUUGGGGGUUUAUUUAAAAAAAAAAAGGUUUGAAUUGAAAUAUAUUCUAUUUAUAUAGUACAUAAAGUUACAUAUUAGCGUUUUAGAUUAGAUUUAUAACUUUUGUGUUACGACCUAUUUAAUUUUGUUGUUUCUCAAUUAUAGCUCCCAUCAGAUAAAAACCUUAGUUCUACCACUGGUUAUAUAUAAAAGUUCAAUUUCGAAAAGUAUGAACAAUUUUAGAUAAAUUAAUUUUACUUUCACAACAAAUUAUAUGAACCAAAUUUAAACAGAAGGAGAGGGAAAUUAAAAUGGGCACUUUUUAAAAUUAUUAAUUUUUCCCAAUGUCGCGCGGGACAGGCCAAUCAGCAAUGUGAUAAUCCUAAGCAGUGGUGGACCACUGCUUUUUGACUACAAGAAGUCUUCUGAUUCAAGUAACGCGUCUUGUGGACCGUCCGAUUUGUUGACCUUUUCUUCAUCAUAGCAGUCUCUACACGUUCCAGCCACUUUGUCUUUGAGACUUUGACGUUCUAGAGUUUCUGCGAGAGUUGAUACAAGGGGAGGGCAAACUGGGGUUCGGACCAGGUUUGAAUCAACCCGAUCAGAUUUUGAGUUAAUCGGGUUAGAAAAAAUAUACGAACUCAACUCAAAUAUGUGAUCCGAUCAAAUCAAAAUCAUCUCUUAGAUUGGGAGACAUGUCAUCUCUCAAUUAUCGCCUAGGAAAAAUAAAAAUUCAAUAAAUUCGGUUUAACAAAAUUAUGGACCAAAUAUCAAUUUUCUUUCAAACAGUAUCGAGAUUAUCUUUAAAAAAUUAAAAUUAUUUAUUUGUUUCUAAAAUCUUUUUUUGAGAUCAUAAUUAUUUUUUUGAUAAUAAAAAUUAUAUAUAUUUUUAAAAACUCUUUUUGUUAAAGUAUAUUGUACGAAUGGUUAAAUAAAAUAUGCGAUUAGGUGUUUUGAAGAAGGUUUAUUUUGCAUAUUUGUGAACUGUUUUAUAUAAAAUUGAAUGUAAAAUGCAAACAUUUCACUAAAUUAUUAAAAAUGGAUAGAUUUUUUUGUCCAUAAAUUAUUAAAAUGCAAACAUUUCACUAAAUAUUUCGUUCAUAUUUCAAAUCUUUUAAAUCCAAUACUUUUGUCUUUUUAACAUUUAUUUAUACAAAGAGGUAUGUGUAUGUAGAGUCCGAUUACGGUAGUCUAAGGGUAUUGAAUCUCAUAAUUAAAGUCAAUAAGUUAAUUUGACCUUUACCCAAUCCAUGAGAUACAAUAUCCAAAUAAAAAGUGUGUUACGUAAUACAAAAAAGGAAAUGUGUCUGUCUGUAUAGGACAUGCAUCUUUUAUGAAAAUUUUACUGGGUUAAAUAGCCCACAGGCCCCGAGCAGAAUAGCUAUCCCCAAACAAAAGGGACCAAACAAAUGAUGAGCUUAGCUACAUGCUCAUUUCAAUGCUAGCUCUAAACGUUGUCUAGAUCUUGAUGCUUAUUGUAUGAUUAGUCAAAAAAAAAAACAUUCAAAUAGACAAAGAACAAAAAGAACGCCGAGUCAAAUUUCUCUCUGUGCCCCCACACAGAUUGUGUGUCAUGUGAGAAGUGUUCUUGUCAAGUGUUCUCUUGCUGUUGCCAGUGCCUGAGAUAUAGUCUGCACUUCUAAAAAGAACAUAGAUGAGUGGCCCAGUUCCUAGGAUUUGAUUAAGUUAACACUUAAAAGUUACAUAAAGCAAAAGUCUCGUACUCAAGAUAUCCCAAAUUAUUGGGUGAUAAAGAGAAUGUUAAAACGUUGGUGUUAGUGGGGUUAGUGCUGUUGGCUUGUGUGGCCUACACAAAUGUAUAUAACCAGAUCUUACUUUAUGCAAAAGCAUUAAUUAUAUGUUGCUUAUAGCCGAAGCAAACAGUGCAUAAAGAUAGAUAAGUGCAUCACCUGCUCAGCCAAAGGGGCCGCUCCAUCCAUGCUGUGGAUUGCUACCUUUCCUGCUAUCACACUGGGAUCUGUUUCAAGUAUUAUCCUGCAGUGCACCAAAGUGAAGUGCGUGAAUAAAUAAUGGGCUUUUGCGACAUAAAAGACGGGAAUCGGAUACCCAAUUGAGAUGUUAAACCCAAAAUUUUUAAGCUGUUAGGUCGUGGGAAAUAAAUACCCUUGAUCCACAAUCUCAUCGAGGCAUAGGAAGAUGAGAUCCAGGUUCUCAAGGGCCUCUCUUUUGUCCACACUGUUCCUGCAUUGUAUUGAAAGGAAAUGAUCAAUGGCUGAACUGAAGAAAGUAGCAGCAAGCAGAAUCAGAAAUAAAAUACCUGAGGAGAAGUGUGACUGCAUCAAAGAAGCCUUGAAGAACAGCGGCUAAGAGGAGUUCAUUUUCAUGAUCACCUCCUGUAACAAAGAAGUGCAGGUCCUGAACAAACUUGUAGACAACAAUGUUGUCCUGGAACAUAACAAUCUCAGCUGCGUAUGAUCAUAAGCAAGUCUUAGGAUUGUUGUCUUGACAGCUAGUUCUGAAAGCGCAACAGAUAAUGUGCGGUGUAUACACGUACUUUUACUUGACAGCUAGUGAUUAUAUUCCACACUAUAUGUGAAUUAAAUGCCAGGACACCUUGAUACGAAACAGGUUGGUUACGGAAGCAUACCUUCCAUUCGGGCAUUUGUCCUCAAGGUCUUUGCGAACAAAGCUUUUUCGAAAGCUAAUUUUGAAUUGUUUGUUGGCCACUCAUCAGAGAAAUACUUGACCGCUACACGUUUCCCUUCAGAAUCUAGAAGAAGAAUGUUUUUCACCGAAGGGCAGCAAUCCUAUAAAAUAUUACAAACCACCGGAGUAUUAGAAUGCUACCAGCAUUCAAUUCUGUCAUUUUGUCAGGCAUUGAAAAGCUUGAGAUCCGACAACCAAGCAUAGAUUAUGCUUUUGAAUUCAUGCAAACGUACCUCAAACGACAUGUGUCUAUUAAUUAUGAGUCAUUUAUGAUCAGCAACACCCUUAAUUGACUUUCUAAAACAUGAUAAUCAUAGUUUAUCUUAACAAAUACACAAAAAAAUACCGCAAGAAUUUCCUUGUAAAUGACGUGGUAAUUCUUUUCUGAAUCUUUGAACUAUCCUGCUGUACGGCCAAGGCGUAUGUACGGUACAGCAGCCUUUUUUUUUUUAAUAAGAAGAAGAAAAUGUAGUUUGUGUUUUAUUCAGAUUAAUAAAAUCCCUCACAUUUCAAUGUUCUUUUUCUUUCCCCUUCAUUUUCUCAUCAAGAAAACAGAGCAAAUAAAAACAGAGCAUGUAUGAACAGAGUAAACAGAUCAGGCACAUUUUAGAUCAAAUCUCAACAACACAACGACGGGCAUAGAGUAAUAAUUUUUAACCCAUGUUAGGUUGUGAAGAAAAUGUAAUCCAGAAUAUUUCGUUUCAUUUUUAUCGGAGAAAGAUCAAUAAAAUUUUUCAAUAUGUAUCCUUUUCCUACAAAUUCUCUGCAACCGAACAGAGUAUAUAAAAACAGAGAAUCUUUAUAGCAGAUCACAUACAGUACAGAUAUAAAUUUUAGAUUAAAAAGAUCAAAAAAGAAUUUAAUGCUGCUGACUAAUGGAAUAUGAGUGGCUUUCAGUUAUAGAGAUGAGAAUAAAAGAGAGACUUACAUCGGAUGCUAAGAUGUGAGCCAUUUUUGUGGAAUUAUGAUCGAGUGAGUGAGAAGAGUUUGUUGUUGUUGUUGAAGCAAUUUAUAAGUUCAUGGUUAAAAAGGGCUUUUUGGUCACUAAGAAAAAAUGACUUCCAUGAGCGUUUUGGUAUCAAUAAAUCCUUUCCAUUAUAUGAUUGGUCAUGUUUGUUGUGAUUAGAAUUUGAACAAAAAUAAAUGAAAAUUCAUUUACCAGUUUGUAUCAAUUCACUCGCUCUUUAAGUAAUUGUGAACCACCUAUUUAGUUACUUAUAAUCAACAGAGGUUAUUUGAAUCUCUCUUAUUAAAUAAAGAAUACUGGCACUCACUUGAAAGUUGAAACUUGUAAGCUUAUGGUUAUAAAUUAAGAAAACGACUUGCCUCCCAUUAAUGCCAAUUGCACUAUAUGAAUUUAUGAACCAACCCCCACCGGCAUUCCUAGGAAAAGAAAAGAGAAAAAGGCCAAAUACAUUCCGUUUGUUUAAAAGAAAUAAAAUUUCUAGCUACUACAACUAUUUUACUAGUCUCAACUAACAUUUUCAAAUAGCCAUGCCAAUCUGAGCAUUUGUACAACAAUAUUGAGAUGAUAAAAAGAGAGAGGAAUUGGAAGAAUCUCUGUUGUUGUAGUUGUGGGUUGAGUCAUUCAUUCAUGGGGUGUAAAUAGAAGGGCCACACUUGCAUUUCCAACCCUCAGGCUCAUAAUUUGCGUACUGAAUACCCAACUGGCUGCGCUGCUUGCUGGUUGUGGGCACUUGUACGGCUUCACAUGGAAUGCAUCCAUAACACUUGUUCUCACAGCUUGGCGGAGUUGAUCCUAUUUUGCUAUCGAAAUUAUAACCCUUCAAAGAGAACAAAACAAAGGUUGUAUUUUGUCAAGACAUUUGUUAAUGACAGACACAACGGAAGAAAAGAGAAGAGAGAAAGAGACAGGCACACCUCUUUUGAGCUCGAAUUUGGGUCUAUGGUGACUGGUAAAGCCUGCGGGCUCUGGCCUGUAACUCAGAAGGCAAUGAAGUUUUGUUAGUACUGUGUUUCUUCACAAGCUAAAGCCGAAGAAGAUUUUUUUCAUAAGGAAAAAUAGGGCAUGGUUGUGAUACUUUUAAGUCAAAUGGCAGCUUAAGAAAGAAAUCAUGUAAAAGUAAUUAAGUUUUGAUAUGCAAAAGGCUAUUUUUUGGUCUAAAGAGAAAAACUAAUAGAUAUAAUCAUUGCCCAAAAAAAUAGGGGGUGGAGUUUCAGCAGAUAUAAGUUAAUUACCAGGUGGAUGACCACCAAUACCAACACCAUCAUUUGGUGCAAAAUGCCUGCUUGUUGCAGAAACCCAACUCACAAUUUGAAUGGCUAGUAACAACAAAAAGCAGCAUAACCUUCUCUCCAUUUCUUCAAGACUUCAAGUGAUGAUGAUUAUGACAAUGAACUUAAAUGAUGAUGGCAGAGGGAAAAAGAGCGAUAGAGAUAUUAAUGUCUUAAAAGCACACAAACUUUACUAGCUGGAUGAGGCCAUGCAUGACUGCUCAAGUAAAUAACCAGGAAAAUGAGAAAAGACAAAACAAUCAAACUCCCAUUUCCCCAGAACCUCUAAAAGUUUCUUGGAUAUCUCCUCAGCCUCUCUUUAACAUUCAUUGGUAUGGAGAUUUGGUUGCUUCACAAGCAAAGUCAUGAGUUAGAAACAACAGUGAGGUUUCCUUCUCAUUUGACAACUCAGCUUGAAAAUACCAAAUGAUAAUCUGCAGCUUUUAUCUUGGUCUUUUCUUUUAGUACAAGCCACUUUCUCUUUUUCUUACUCAAACCAAUCUGAUAUACUCUAUGAGCUGUCCAACUCCGUUCCAUAAGGCUAGAAUAACAGCUCCCUUUUUUGGGGUCUGCCAAAAAAGAAAAGAAAAGGAAAAGGAUAAAAAAAAACCUGCAUGACCAUAUAAAGAUCAGAAGAAAUCUUGCCUAGACUGCAGUGCCUUUUGCUUUUCUCUCAAGACUUAUUUCUAUAAAAGGAAAAAGAAUCCAUUGCUGCAGACUCCCCACUUAUUUAAAAGGAGAAUAAAUGCAUCAAUAUCUGAGACAAUCAGCAAUGCAGAUAGGUUUUAAAUUUUAAUGAGUGAAUUAAUAAACUUAGUAUGGUACUACUUGAGUCAACUUUGUAGUUGUAGAGGCUGGUAGAUCGGGAACACCAGGACUUCGGUUAACUUGAUCAAAUCCGAGCCAUCCAUCAACAUCGGCCAUGAAGUAAUUAAGGAUCAUGGUGGUCCAGAUUGCCUUUUGGGCAUCUGCAGAUGUGCCCAUUUAAUGAGCAGUAGAUCCGAGUACACUCUAUCACCAUGUCAUUUUACUUCCUCUUUUUUUUUUUAUUACAUCACUCAUUACACCGGACCAGCUGGUCCUGGUUUAACAAAAGACAGAGUAGGGAACGGAAGCAAAGUGCAAAGCAUGCAGGAAAAGAAAAUGAGAAGCUAUUAUUCACUCAAGAUCAUCCUAUAACUAUGCAAUUUUUAGGUGUGAGCUAUGAAAGUGAAACUGGAAAGCAAAGAUUGAAAAAAGGAAACCCUGAUAUAACCAUUCAAUUGUCUUCCUCUAGGGUCUUGGCGGCUAGAUUCAGGCAUUGUUAUAAUAGACAAUUUGGUACUUGUUUGUGAGUCAUAAUUUCCACAAUCAGGUGCUUUGGUGUCACCAAGAUGACAAUAAAACUUUCUUUCAGAGGAGGAAAAAGCAAAAAAAAAAAGAAAAAAAGAAAAAAAGAAAAAAAGAAAGAAGAAAAUAAGACGAUAAUCAAGAAAGGAUGAAAUGGGAAGCAUCAAAGUCAGUGGUAAGCAACAACUGCAUCUAUAUCUUCAUCUUUCUCAUUAUUUUAUUUUGUUUUUGAAUAUAUGGUGACUUGAUGUUUGAUUUUCUGCUGGAAAUUACACAUUGACACCUGUGCCUAAGUUCAGUGAUUAGAUCAUUCAAUAUGCUGUACAAUUCCAGUCACUCAGUCAGUGCUCUCAAGUCUCUACUCUCUGGCAGCCUACCAAGUAGUCAACAGGUCAUUUCAAGUCUAUUACAGUAAUACAGGACAGCUCAUGCUUUUAAACAUUAUGGCCAUUGCAAAACUCUUAUCAAGCACCAUUUUGUCCAUGCAAAAUUGGACAGCUCUGAUGUAUUCAUAAUUGCCACAAUACAGCAAUAUAAUUAGUAUGGUCUCAAAAUAGUCUGAGUAUUCCAUACAACUCAGUAUAAAAAGCAAAUACCUGGCUUCUACUUUAAAAUCUCAGUAUAAAUUGCUUAAAGAAUUGAUACUAAGCUUAAAUGGAAAUGGCACCAUCUCAUAUGAAGCAAUUUCAGUGACUAAUGCAACAAAUCAUUCAUAUUCACUCCAAAGAAUGUGACAGGAAAGAUAAAUGGACAUCAAAAUUUUAAAGAGCACACACAUUCUAUCCUGUGAAUGAUAAAAUUUGUACCAAAUACAUAUCAAAGUAAAUUUAGUGAAGAAUACAAGAGAUUUUUCCUACACAAGCUCAUUAGGUUCAAAGUUUCUCUCACAGGCAGCAACACUCAAAGCACUCCAUCCCUGACUUACUUUGAAGACGAAUCAUGACUGCUAGAAUCUUUCUUCUUUGGAUGAACAGCUUCAACAAGGGCCUCGAUCUCUUCCUUGACUCUUUGAAUCACACCUGGCCCUUUCACUUCUUCUAUUGGGGUGUUCUCAUCGAUGUCAUUACUAGUCCCAUGAGUUUCUUUGGUAUGGCGUGGUGAUUUAUCAUGGUGAAUAAUUGCCUCAAUCUCUUCCUUAGCUCUUUCCAAAAUGUUUGGAGCCUUCACAUCUUUUUCUUUAACAGGAAUUGAAAAAAAAAAGAAAAAAAGCAAUGUAAAUUAUAUCAGCUACAAUUAUAGUUCCAACUGCCACAAAAAUUUUACUAGCAAGAUCCUUAAGAAAAAUAUGCAUUUAAAUUCUAAACCUCAACUUAUAACAGUGGUUUGACAUUUUGUAUUAAAGAAUGGGAUCAAAUUUUAUCUACAAAACUCGAUUCUCAUUAAUCAAAAGCUGAAGUUUUUAGUUUGUGCUUGUACUAAAGAUUGAAACUUUCGAUAUUCUGGCAUCGUACAAAGAAAAUGAAUUAGCAUGAAAUGAAAAGCACCCAUUGAACAUGAUUGUUUAUAGAGAAGAUUAAAACAAAUAAUAUCAAAUUUCAUGAACGAUAUGUCAAUUUCACAGUUUUGCAUUAUUAUUAAAGUAAUGCAAUAUUUUCAAAAUAAUUACACUUUUUUAAUUAAACCUUAUAUAAUAAUCAGAUGGAAACUUGAAAUAAAUGACAUAUCGACAAUAUAUUUAUACCUGAUUGAUUGAUUGAUGGGUCUGGUUUUGGUUCUGUCAUUGAGCCUGCAAUAAAAUUUUGUGGGUGUGAUUCUGAUCACUGUUCAGAAUUUUCUGAAAUUUUGAACUCUUGGAGUCGUGGUUCAGCUGAGCUCUUUUUCCUGGUGUCACGUGCGAGACGUGUGGAUAAAGGUGCGGGAGUUGGCCUUUCACACAAAGACCGAAGUGUUGGGAUCAAUAAUAACUCCGGUUUAUUUUGGGCAGGUUCAUAUUUGCAGACCCAUAUUCGAAACAGUAGGUCUUUCAACACCCCUCAAAAUUUCUAACGAAGCCCCUUAACCGAAAUUACCUAAACAACUAAGUGGAAUCAAUUCAAUUAUUAUUUCGAAUGGAAAUUCAAUUAAACACAUAACUAAAUUAUUAUUUUGAAAAACUUAUUACACCGAUCACAUUUCAUAAAUAUUUAUAUUAUAAAUUUUAAUUAAAAUUUUUUUAGAGAAAAUUAUUGUAGCUUGAGCUAUAAAUAAAAAUUAUAUAAAAAGAAAAAAAAAUUAAGAUUUUAGAACUUGUAUGUAUAUUUUAUAAACAAAAACUUAAAACAGUUACUCAUUUUAGGGUGAAUUUUUACGUGGCAAGAUGAGUUAUUGUAAUAUAUGGGUUUUUAUCUUAUAAAUUAAUCAGGGGUGUUUUAGGAAAUAAAAUUCAACAGAGUGGUAUAAGCGGUUUAGGGGGGUGUUUGGAGGUCCAAUCAAACUAAAAAUAACUUGCUCGGCUGAGGCCCGAGGAUCGUUUUUCCUUGGUAGUUUUCACAGAAGUGGAGCAUAUUAGAGUGGAGCUUUUAACAUCCCUCUAAUUCUCGAUAACACUUAUUUUUAGUUUUAUUUUUUAAAAUACCCCAAUUUUAAUUGAUAAAAUACAAAUUCAUAUAUUAAACUUAACUACCUUUUCAUAAAAUUUUAUCCUAAAAAAAUAUUUCUUUUAAGUUUUUAUUUAUAAAAUAUAUACAAAUAUUAAAAUCUUAAAUUGUUUUCUCCUUAUCAUAUAGUUUAUGUCUCCAUAAGUCUAAAGUCUAAUAAUUUUUUUAAAAAUAUUUUUAAUUAAAAUUUAAAAUAUAAAUACAAAUUAUGAUAUGGGGUGUGUAUACAUAAUUUGUUAGAAGAAUAAUAUUUUAAGUGCUUGAUUGAAUUCCCAUUAUAAAAAAAAUAAUCAAUUUAUUUAGUUUUUUAGAUAAUUUUAAUUGAAAAUGAGGCUUUAUGAAGAAUUUUGAGAGGUUUCAAAAGGCCUGUUUUUUUUUUUUUUUUUUUUUUUUGAUAAGGUGAAAAGACCUACACUAAAUCUUGUAUCUACUUGUAACAAAAAACUUGAAAUAGAAAAAAAAAAAUCAUAAAGUUGAUGUCAUUAAUAAAAGUCAGCCAAUAUAUAUAAAGAUGGACUAGGUUUAAGGGACACAAUUUUAGACAUAAUCAUAAACACAUAUUUUUUACCGUUAGAUUAAAAAAAGAAUGAAAUAUAAAGAUUAAAGGACAUGAAUUAUUAAUUACAAUAAUAUUUUUCUCCCUCCUCUCUUUAGUGUUUCAUCUAUAUUUCUUCUUUUACUCAUAUUUUCAUGUUGCUCUCUCUUAUAUUGCACAAUGAAAUAGACGGAAAUAUUAAAACCAUCAAAAUCAAUUUCUUUAUAUUAGUCUCUAAGCUCUUUUUAAGUUUUAUGCAAUUGGAGGAACUGGAAUAGUGGGUGUGCUCUUGUUCGUUUAUUUUGCCCAUUAUUUUUUUGAUAUUUUUAUGCAACUUCUCCGUAUAAAUCCAUGCAAAUCAAUUUCACAUGCAACUUAUGUUCGUGUUUUACGAUUUUGUUUGCUUGAAGUAUAUGAAACGUUUUUUUUUUUUUUUUUUUUNNNNNNNNNNNNNNNNNNNNNNNNNNNNNNNNNNNNNNNNNNNNNNNNNNNNNNNNNNNNNNNNNNNNNNNNNNNNNNNNNNNNNNNNNNNNNNNNNNNNNNNNNNNNNNNNNNNNNNNNNNNNNNNNNNNNNNNNNNNNNNNNNNNNNNNNNNNNNNNNNNNNNNNNNNNNNNNNNNNNNNNNNNNNNNNNNNNNNNNNNNNNNNNNNNNNNNNNNNNNNNNNNNNNNNNNNNNNNNNNNNNNNNNNNNNNNNNNNNNNNNNNNNNNNNNNNNNNNNNNNNNNNNNNNNNNNNNNNNNNNNNNNNNNNNNNNNNNNNNNNNNNNNNNNNNNNNNNNNNNNNNNNNNNNNNNNNNNNNNNNNNNNNNNNNNNNNNNNNNNNNNNNNNNNNNNNNNNNNNNNNNNNNNNNNNNNNNNNNNNNNNNNNNNNNNNNNNNNNNACUUUUUUUUUUUUUUUUUUUUUUGUCUAAACCACGAGAUGGUCAUGAGUGGGCCUCAAUUGUGAGAAGUACCUUUAAAUCCGUACCACUACUCAGACUAAUCUCUGCUCGCACCGGGUCGGCCCAUAAGGGGUAAAGUGCUGGCCAACUUUGGUUUAUAAGAAAAACUUUUUAGAUUUGAUAGGAGAAAGAAACGUGAGGUAAGAGAGAGAAUAAUUAGGGAAAUAAUUAAUUACCGCAUGAUGAGAUCCACGUUAUUUUGUAACUAAUAAUUAUAUCCUCUAAUCUUCACUUUGUUCAAUCUUAAACAAACCAAACGAAUCAAUUAAUCAGAUAAUGAUUUACUAAGAUCGAAGCAAUAAAUAAACACUUAAUGUUAUUAUCCACAAGCAGAACAAUUAAUUUUCUUCGAGUUGUCAGUUUUUGCUUAUUAAUUGUAAUUUAAUUCUAAUUUUUUUAAUAACAGACUAGUUACUUCAAGAAGCUGACAUGUCAUUCUUACUUGCUUCUCACGCAUUCCUCGUUGUGUUUUCAAAAUUUCAAAAAAUGAUGUUAAAAAUGAUGUUUUACUAAACUUAACAAAAAUGAUGUUUUACUAAACUUAACAAAAAAAAAAAAAAAUCAAAUGAACAAACGAAAGUAAUGUGUUAUUAAUUAUUGACUUCUAUUUAUUUAGUUAUUAUUACUUACCAUGCAACUGCUACACUCUAUUAGUCACACCGCCAUUGAAAAGAAUAUCAUAUACCACAUGAAUAAUGGAUUUUAUCAGUUUACCCUUUAGUUAAACCUUAGAAUCUUGUUGUUAAUCUAAUAUCCAAGGACAAGUUAAUCUUUUUGUUUCCAUUUUGGAUUGUAUGUUAAGUACCUUUUGUUUAUUAAAUGCUUCCAAUUGAUUGACUUUCUCAUUUCGUUGAGGUGGUUUUUUGAAAACCGGUUUAUACUAUCAGUGAGAUCUAUAGUUCUGCAUUAUAUAAUUCACACUACUUUACAGUAACGCCCUUCUCUCUUAUCUCUAUACCUGCCAUUCUAGAACACAAAAGUUCUUAAAGAUUGAUUAAGUAAUAAGUUUAAACAGUGUGAUGAAACUUACCUAUAUUAUUUAAUUUGUACGCCAACGGGUGUGGCCUUUUCAAAAGGGCUUUGGAGCCCAAGAAUCAGCAGCUACCCAACAAACUUUCUUCCUAGACAUGUUAACCGAUUUCAUCUGUCAUAGCUAUACAUAUUCAUACCAACAAAGUAGUGUGCUCUUGUUCGUUUAUUUUGCCCAUUAUUUUUUUGAUAUUUUUAUGCAACUUCUCCGUAUAAAUCCAUGCAAAUCAAUUUCACAUGCAACUUAUGUUCGUGUUUUACGAUUUUGUUUGCUUGAAGUAUAUGAAACGUUUUUUUUUUUUUUUUUUGUCUAAACCACGAGAUGGUCAUGAGUGGGCCUCAAUUGUGAGAAGUACCUUUAAAUCCGUACCACUACUCAGACUAAUCUCUGCUCGCACCGGGUCGGCCCAUAAGGGGUAAAGUGCUGGCCAACUUUGGUUUAUAAGAAAAACUUUUUAGAUUUGAUAGGAGAAAGAAACGUGAGGUAAGAGAGAGAAUAAUUAGGGAAAUAAUUAAUUACCGCAUGAUGAGAUCCACGUUAUUUUGUAACUAAUAAUUAUAUCCUCUAAUCUUCACUUUGUUCAAUCUUAAACAAACCAAACGAAUCAAUUAAUCAGAUAAUGAUUUACUAAGAUCGAAGCAAUAAAUAAACACUUAAUGUUAUUAUCCACAAGCAGAACAAUUAAUUUUCUUCGAGUUGUCAGUUUUUGCUUAUUAAUUGUAAUUUAAUUCUAAUUUUUUUAAUAACAGACUAGUUACUUCAAGAAGCUGACAUGUCAUUCUUACUUGCUUCUCACGCAUUCCUCGUUGUGUUUUCAAAAUUUCAAAAAAUGAUGUUUUACUAAACUUAACAAAAAAAAAAAAAAAUCAAAUGAACAAACGAAAGUAAUGUGUUAUUAAUUAUUGACUUCUAUUUAUUUAGUUAUUAUUACUUACCAUGCAACUGCUACACUCUAUUAGUCACACCGCCAUUGAAAAGAAUAUCAUAUACCACAUGAAUAAUGGAUUUUAUCAGUUUACCCUUUAGUUAAACCUUAGAAUCUUGUUGUUAAUCUAAUAUCCAAGGACAAGUUAAUCUUUUUGUUUCCAUUUUGGAUUGUAUGUUAAGUACCUUUUGUUUAUUAAAUGCUUCCAAUUGAUUGACUUUCUCAUUUCGUUGAGGUGGUUUUUUGAAAACCGGUUUAUACUAUCAGUGAGAUCUAUAGUUCUGCAUUAUAUAAUUCACACUACUUUACAGUAACGCCCUUCUCUCUUAUCUCUAUACCUGCCAUUCUAGAACACAAAAGUUCUUAAAGAUUGAUUAAGUAAUAAGUUUAAACAGUGUGAUGAAACUUACCUAUAUUAUUUAAUUUGUACGCCAACGGGUGUGGCCUUUUCAAAAGGGCUUUGGAGCCCAAGAAUCAGCAGCUACCCAACAAACUUUCUUCCUAGACAUGUUAACCGAUUUCAUCUGUCAUAGCUAUACAUAUUCAUACCAACAAAGUAUUGGCUCUACUGGUAAUGGAGUCCCCUUAAGUGGCUUGACUGGGUUUGCUCCCCAGUUCGAGUCGCAGGGAAGUCGCCUUUGUUGGGAGAACCUGUGCCUCCCGGUUCGAGCAGGGACUUAUAGUCUAGGUUGUGGUACGGGCUUAAAGGUGCCUCCCACAGUUGGGGCCCUCCCCAGGAUACCCCGUGAUUAAUAAAAAAAAAUAAAAAAUAGCUAUACAUAUUCAUCAUAGCAUUCUGUUGUCUUUCUUCUUGAAUCUGCUAACAUGUAUUGUUUGUAAAGUCUUCAAUUCCAGAAAGCAGCAGGUUUUGAUUACACCAUACAUGAAAACACAUCUUGCAACUUGUGGGGCAGUAACUUAACAUUUACUAAAUUUAUCAAACUCCAGGCUUCAAAUUCUUGGCAUACAGGCCAUACUCAAUAAUACCCUCUUUCAUAAGAUGAGGCACGAUCGAUGAUCCGGAAGAUCGUGAAAAGAAAAAUAUUAAUUUAUGCCAAGAUGUCUUGGCUUCUCUAAAGGUUUUUAAUUUCUCCCUAAUUUAUUCCAAAUAAUAUAGGUACCAAAAAUUCUUAUACAAAUUAUUUUAAUACAUAAUCAUAUGGCAAAUGUACUCUUGGUUGAAAAUUAUUGCGGAUAUGAUGCUGAAGUGGGCCGUCAAACAAAGACCAAAGAGUCAGACAAUGACAUAAGUCCUUUCUUUUUUGAGCCUAUUUUAGACCGAAAAUGGAAACUCAAAAUGAGUUGCUGGGCCGAGCUCGAAGAUGGGUUUCUCUUUGCAAUUCUUUCAAAAAUUGCAUUAUUUUUUUUUCCCCAAAGGGUAUUAAACUUAUUUUCUUUAGGGUCUGGUCAGAUUGUACGCAUAAUAACCCAUAUGCAAAGGCUUUUCUUGAAAUCAUGACAAAAUUUUAAAAAAAUUUAAAUUGAAAACAACUUUCGUUAUUAUUAUUAUUUAACCUAAAGAAAACUCAAUGAGUGGAUUUCAAACCCAAAUCUGUUGUUUCUAACACGAGAAAAAAAAUUUAAUGGAUAAAACACAAUGUGGAAAAAUACAUGUUACCUACUAAUAUACUACAUUAAUUGACUAAUUAAAACCCUGUUUUAUCUAAUUUGAAUUUAUUUGUUAGUAUGUCACAUUUAUUCUUCAAUAUGCAUCUUUUUAGUAAAUAUUUUAAUGCCAGUGAUGAAAAUUGAAAUGAAGAAAACUCAAUUCAAGCUUUCUCAUUUGAUUUAAUUUCUUUAUUUUGAUGUUGAAGUUUUCUUUUCUCUCUUCAACCUCUUUCUUGGAACUUGCUUCUGUCUUAAUAUUUACUCCUCUCUCUUCUUCUUCUUCUUCUUCUUCUUCUUGUUGGCUGGGCAAGGGGGAAACGAGACAACGUAACAUUUUCCCAGCACACGUAUGAGAGGCUCUACGUGUUUGACUAGUUCAUCCUUUCUCUCACGCGAAAAGGUUAACCAAAAUUUGUAUGAAUUUAUUUAUAUCGCAAAAAAGUUAGAAUUAAUUAAGGGAUAUUUUUGCUAAAAUCUUCAAUCUUUUCACCUAAUUCAUUUAUAUGACAACUAAAACGAUUUCACUAGAAAACAAAAAAUAUUUUAUAAUAAGACAAACAAAAAAUUUUGUCUUUUGUGUCUUUGUGCUAAUUUUUAUAUUUUCUCUUUUUAAUCAAAGACCAAUUACAUUAAGGGGGAAACCUUAGGUGUAACUGUGGUACCGUGUUAAAGUUGUAUCUAAUUGUUGGAUGUCAGUUGCCUGAUCCUACAUUAAGGGUCUAUUUAAUAUUAAGGUUGGAUAGGUACAGUUUGAAAGUUACGGAAUAAAAUUGUUUAGUAAAUAUUUAUUACUAUAACUUAAAGUUAAGUUGAUUUAAUUUCACAUCAGUAUAAUAAAAAAUUUAUAAUAUUUUUAUUAUUUUUUAAAAUUAUUAUUUAAAAAUUAUAUUUGCGCUAUUAGGGAUGAUAAUGGAGUGGGGUGGGGGUGGAGAGGUCUACAUCAUUUCCCACCCCAUUAAAUUUUUUUUGCCUCCAUUCCCCAAUAAAUUUAAUGGGGUGGGGAUAAGGAAUCCCCACGUGAAGACUUAUUUCUCCAUCCCUAUCCCCACCUCAUUCCCCAUUUUUUUUUAUUUUAUAUUAAGUAUAAAUAUAUGAUUUUAGUAAAUUAAAUAUUAGAGAUUUAAAAUAAAAUCAUCACCAUAUUAUAAAGUAUUUAAAUUAUUUUUAAAAAACCACUCAAAGUUUGAAACAAUAUCUUAAAAUGAUAUCAAAACUGAAAAAUAUUUAAACAGAACAACACCUUAAAAAAGAAAAGAAAAUAUAAUAAUGUUUUAGAGUUGAAAAAGAAUUAUAUUAUAGGGUUUUCUUUUAUUCACAUCAUGUUUAUAUUAGAUAAGAAUAAAAAAAAUUUAUUAAUUGACAUUAUAGUUGAUAAAAUAAAAAUUAUUAAAUAAGAAUUAAAAAUAUUUAUAUAUAAUGGGGAUUGGGGUGGGGGUGGGGAAUACAAAACUAAACCUCACCCCGUUAAGAAUUUGAGGAUUAUUUUUCCCUCAUUCUCCAAAAAUUAUUCAAAAUUUUCCCCAUUUGGGGUGGGGCUCCAUGAAAGAUUUUGUCAUCCCUAUGCGCUAUUAACUUUUGUUCAUAGUUAGAGUUUUUUUUUUUUUUUAUAGUAAUUGUGACCUAAAAACUACAACACCUCAAUAACACACAAGAUCUUGUUAGAAAUUGGAUUGAAAUGCUAUAACUAGUGAAGUUUUGACAAAAAAGAUGUUUGGUAAACUUUUUAAAUACUAAUUAUUUCAUAAGUUUUUAUAUUUUGAUACUUUUUUAAUAAAUAGUUUAUUAAAUAAAUCACCAUACUUUUUGAAGUUCUUAUUACAAUCUUAAUAUUUUAAUAAAAGGACUAUUAUAUCUUACUUUUCUAUAUACCGUUAUAUAUCGAUAAAGGACAACUUGAAUUUAUGUCUAUUUUGGUCACUAUUAUUAUAGCAAUAUUUUCGUAAUAAAAUUAACCAAAUGCGCAUACUCUACCUUUCAAAUUCACAGUAACUGCAAUAACAUAAUUUAUCAAAAAUCAAAUUACUUUUUUAAUUAGUAACUUACUUCACCUACACAGUAAAAACAACUUAUUUCAUAACCAUCGCAAUCACAAACUAUCCUUCAGUAUCAUUAUGGCUCCCAAAUGAAAAAAAAAGAAAAAAAAGAAAAAAAAGAGGAUUAUCCCACUGUUGUUUGGAGAAACAAAGUGAAAUCCCUCUCAUAUUUUAAAAUAGGUUCAAACCCCGGGUAGUUAUAAUGAUGUCAUGUAAAUCAAUACUUUAUAUAAUUAUUAGAGAUUUUUAUCAUAUUGUCCCUAAUUAUAACUUGUCUUCACACUUUAGAGUUCAUUAUCAAAUUAAUUUAAUCAUAAAGAGUAUAUAAUUCAUUUUACUUAAAAAAUAUUCUCAAAAUAUUUAAAUUUUAUAACUUACAAGGAGAUUAAGAGUAUAUUUUACUUAAAAAAUAUUCUCAAAAUAUUUAAAUUUUAUAACUUACAUGGAGAUUAAGAUUAUAAUAGUAAAAUGAUAUGUAAAACUAACUCCGUUAUAAGUGCUAGGGGUUUAGGCAUUUUAAAAGAUGAGGGAAUUCUGUUUAAUUUAUCUAAACAACACGGUAAUCCUCAUUUUCCCCAACAAAAUAAUAAAAAAAGAAAAAGAGUAGAAAGCUUGACUUCCAACUUCCUCUCAAAUUCAACCUCGUGCACAGUAGUGGAAGUUUGUAUUAUUACAACUUAGAACUCUGGCCAUUUUAUUUUCUACGUUCAAACAAUACACGUUGAAUAUUUUCUAGAUUUUUAUUCAUUCAAUAUUUGUUGUGUCCAUGAUGCGUAUUUGAAGGUCUCAAUCGUAGUGACCGAGCUUUCCAUUUGUAUAAAUAAAGGACCUGGCUAGCAGAUUUCGUUACGUUCACAGCAAGAUUUAAAGUAAUAUUCAGCAAAUAAUAGUAACUAUUGCAUAUGAUUACUGCGAAAUCACCGACCUUCGAAUUGAAGAACGAUCAUCAGGAGACGAAGCCGAUGAUGGGAAUUAAUAAGAGCUUCAAGAAGAGGGGUCAGUUGGGUAAUGGCAUUGAUGGCGAUCAUCAUGAAUCUGAUAAUAAUUGUAAGAAGCUGAGGGAAUUCGGAAGUGACGAUGAGCUGGUUGAUCAUCACAGAGCUGCAACCAAGCUGCAAAAAUUUUAUAAGAGCUAUCGGACGCGAAGAAACCUAGCAGAUUGCGCUGUCGUUGUGGAGGAGUUAUGGUAUUAUCAAUUGUUUUAACUAAUUAAUUAAUUAAUUAAUCUCUCUCUCUAUAUAUGGAAACGGUCAGUUAUUGUUAGUAUUAUUAUAAUCUAUUAUUUAAUUUUAGGUUUUUGCAUGCAGGUGGAAAGAAUUAGACAGGGCAGCUUUAACGCGAAGCUCGGUGUCAUUCUUCAACUCUGAUAAGGCAGAAUCUGCAGUUUCUCGAUGGGAACGGGCUAGGAUAAGGGCUGCCAAGGUUAAUCAAUUAUGUUAAUUUCAUCAGUUCGUUUAUAAGGAUUUGAUAAACUCAAAAGAUCAUGUAUCUCCUUUGCAUUUUGGUACAUUUAAUUAAUUAUAUAUAUAUAUAUAUAUAUAUUAGGGCAAAUUUACUGUUUGGAAAUUAACUAAUAUCUUAAUUUAUUACUUGAGAAGAUUCAACAGCGCAACCUUUGAAUAUUAAUGAUCCACAAUAUGUUCCCAUUCUAUCUAGCGUUAUUAAAUUUCUGUUUUGUCAAUGGCUGACUUGGUUAAUAUUGUUAACUGUACGCAGCUUGGAAAGGGUCUGUGCAAGGAUGAAAAGGCUCAGAAAUUGGCUCUAAGACACUGGCUUGAAGCGGUCAGUUCACAGUUAUUUAAGAGAAAACAUCUUUCAUCUCAAUAUUAGUUGAAUAUUUUCGAUAAAGAACAACUUGCUACAAAAUUGUUACUUUUUCCUUCUCGUGUUGCUUAGAUUGAUCCCCGCCAUCGUUAUGGUCACAAUCUUCAUCUGUAUUAUGAAGUCUGGUUUGCUAGUGAGAGCACCCAACCUUUCUUCUACUGGUAAGCUAGUUAAAGAAUCCCUUGAUAUAUAAUUAAGGAAUUGAUCAUUUCCUUCUUUAAUUUAAUACUACACAUUUUUAGUUACCUUCUUUGAUUUGUGAAAAUUAAUGAAGGUUGGACAUUGGAGAUGGCAAAGAAGUAAAUGUUGCCAAGUGCCCGAGAAAUGAUCUACAACAUCAAUGCAUCAAAUACCUUGGACCAGUAAGCACAUAUAUACUCUUAACAUAAAUGUAUAACCGCGUACUACAAAUAUUACUUCACAUUUCCAUAUAGAGUGUUCGACGUUUAUUACUAGAGUUACUAAGUCCUCAUUUAAGAGUUGUUACAUUACAUGUAUAUGACCUAUAUAUAAUAUAUAUAAUAAAAAAAAAGUAGUGAUAUAUAUUUGUUAUUUACAAUUGAUCUUGCAGAAAGAGAGGGAAACAUAUGAAGUGGUAAUAGAAAAUGGAAAGCUUCUUUACAGACAAAGUAGGGUUUGUAUAAGUACAGUGGAGGGUUCUAAAUGGAUAUUUGUCCUCAGUACUUCAAGAAAAUUGUAUGUUGGGGAGAAGAAGAAAGGCCUUUUUCAGCACUCUAGUUUUCUUGCCGGCGGCGCCACCAUUGCAUCCGGGAGAUUGGUUGUCCUUGAUGGGAUCCUAGAGGUGUGUGUCUAUAUAUAUAUAUAUAUAUAAACUAAAAUUUCGUUUACAUCUUGUUCUAUGAUAUAGAUAACUUGAUGCUUAAUUUGUUUAGGCUAUGUGGCCCUUCAGCGGUCAUUAUCGGCCAACAGAGGAGAACUUCAUGGAAUUUUGUAGCUUCCUAGAGGAUCAUCAAGUGGACUUGACAAAUGUUAAGGUAAUUAAAAUAAUAUCCCUCUUAUUAAUCAUUCGAGAUGUUCGAAACUAUGAAAGCACUGAAAUAUCCGUACACUAGCUAUAUAAAAAAGAAAAAUUAAAAUUCUAUUUUCGUUUCAAGGCUUUGAGCUAAUAAGUUAUAUAUAGUUGUUGCAACGUCCUACAGCCUACUAGUUAAAUAUGAGAAUGGCUUACAAAUAAUAAUUAAAGGAUAUCUCUAUAUUUCCAUUGUUUGAGGCACAUUGAAUUUCGUGUACGUUAUAAGUUUCAGACAACGUAGCAUCAAUUCACAAAUAUUCGUAUGAAUAAGCAAAUUAAAUCAAGUGUGUAUAUAUUAAGUAAUGUAUGUUACCUUGGUCUCCAUUUUCAUUUAUGCAGAAACAUCCCAUUGAUGAUGACAUCCCUCCAAAAGCCUCCGAUAGUAAGGAACUUAAAUUGGACUCAUCUGCUAAAGUUGAUGUCGAAACAAAGAACGUCAGCACCGCAGCGGGAGCCUUAAUCAAUGAAGAAGAAGAAGACCCAAAGCUGAAUUACAAUAGCAAUAAUAAUGAUGUGGAAGCAGAAGCAGAAGUGUUUGAAAUUGAUGACGAUCAGAAGCCUUUGUCACGCAAAAUAUGGACAACAGGAGCAGGUCCCAGAAUCAGUUGUGUUAGAGAUUACCCAACCCAGCUGCAAUUCCAUGCACUUGAACAGGUCAAUUUGUCUCCAAGACCAGGACCAUCAUCCAUCGCAAGCUCUAGUAUAAUGAAUGCUCCAGUCCCUUCACCAAGACCUAGUCCCAAGAUUCUUCUCUCCCCCAGACUUUCUUGUAUGGGACUUUCGAGCCCCAGUCCUAGGUCAGGUCAAAUUCCUGUGCGUCAAUAAACUUAUUAUUAUGUUUUUAUUAUAUGUAGUAGUUAAUUAAUUACCACGAGUUGACGGGGCAAUUUCAACUUCGUUCAUAUAAGUGGAAGGGUAACGUCAUUUUCCUAACCACUUGACCAAUAAUGUGAAAUAUUAACACGCUAUUAGGGAUACUGUAUACUUUUUAGCAAAAUUUCAAAUUGAUGUAAAUUUCUAAAGAAAAUUUGCUUAUAUGUUCAUCGAAUGCCAUGUUUAUGGAGAUGUGCAUGUUGUGCCUAAAUUUUCAGGUCCUCUAUAUGGCCUUAAUAAUUAAUUUGCCUGCUCCUUUCAUUUAGUUUCUACACACUUAACCUUAUCAAAUUAUACAGAUCAUUAGUUAAUUGUUAAAACGCAUUGGCUCAUUACUGCAACUAUUAUCUUUAAUGAAAGUUAAUAUUUCAUUCAUUACGCACAAGUAUGAGAAUUCAAUUCGGCAGUUUGAUUGAUUAUUUCAUUGUUUCAAUUACUUUUGAUAAUUAAGGCGCACAUAUAGUUUUUAUGGUUGAUUCUCUUAUAAUUCUCUCCUAAUUUAGGCCCCGUUUGGGAUUGCUUUUGGGAGGGUUAAAAGUGAUUUUAAAAAUUUAAAAACUAAUUUUGGUGUUUGGUAAAAAAAAAUCAAAAUUACUUUUGCCAGAAUCAACUCCUCCUACAGUUGAUUUUGAAAAGCAGGGAAGGAAUAACUUUUAGAUUCUGAUUUUGAGAAUCAAUUUUAUCCUUUAAUAUAAUUCCAUAAAUAUCCUUACAAUUAUUACUUAAACCCGAAAUUAUCCUUAUUUAAAUUGGAAAUAAAAUCAAUAUUUUAAUAAUUUUUUAUUAUAAUUAACACACACCUUUCGUUUACUCUAUUUCUUCAUAUUUUGUGUUCUAUCAAAACUUCUCUAGUGCAACAAAGCAAGAUCCAGUAUGUGUUCCAUCAUCAUAUUCAAUAACAGUAAGUGAUUCAUCACCCUUUUCAUACAUAGUCAAUAUAAUUUUUAUUAUAAUAUUUGUUGUUUGUCUUAUUUGGGUUUGUUUAUAUAUAAACAAUUCUAUGCCUAUGUAAUUUUUAUUAUAAUAUUGUACGUGUACAUUUUUAUAUGUAUAAGUAAAUUUCAUCCUACAUUAUGUACAUUUUAAUCAUUUAUUUUCUUACAGCAGUUUAACAAUAAGAUUUACCAAACACCCAUAACUGCUUUCAAAAUUCACAGUACUUUUAAAAAUAAAAUUUACCAAACACUUAACUGAUUCUCUUCACAGCUGAUUAUUUCUACAGCACAGCUAACAACAAUUAUUUUAAAAGCUGCAGCAUUACCAAACUAGCCCUUAAUCUUUUUCUUAGCAAAAUUUAUUAAUGUGAUUGGUGGUUGCUAAAUUAAAAAAUAAAGGUAGUUAAAUCCUAAUUAUAUAUUAGCACUAAAAUAUAUCAGGAGAGGAUCUUAAUUAUAUAUUAACAUAAAAUUUGUAAAAGAUCAGGAGAGCUCAAAUCAGGAGAGGAUCUUAGUCCCGAUUAUAUUUUCAGCUUUCACCACAUUAAAAAAAAUGUAAAUCACACUAAGAAAGUAAAAAUGUUAUUCGUAUAAUUUUUUUAGAUAUAAGUAUCAUUAAUAUAACUAACAAGUUUAAUAAAUUAACUUCACAAUCAAACACUAUACACACCAUAAUCCCAAAGGAUUAGGUCCAUGCCUUUAAAAUUGAUUACGGGCAAAUAUUGGCAGAGUUUCACAAUCAUGGUGCAUUUACUAAAUAAAAAUUGAAAUGGACUGAAAUUAGAAUUGACAAGAAUUGGAAUGGGAUGAAAUGAAAAUGGAGUACAGGAAUUAGAAUAAAUUUUUUAUUUAAACUAUAAUAAUUGGAAUCGAAAUUGACCGUAUUUCCAUUAAUAUGUUUAUUCUGUCUUGGAAUCAAAAUUGUAAUGAGUUAUAUUGUUCAAAUUAUUAAAAAUUCCUUAAUUAACUAUUGUUAUGAUUAUUAAUCUGUAUUUUAAUUAUCAAAUGCCAAUAUUGGCUUCGCCAGGCCAUCGAGAUUCAAAUAUUUUCUUUUUGAAUCUCGUGCAAACGUGCAUUCCAUGCGACCCAUGUAGCUAUCUAUUGGCGCCUUCUGCUGCGGCUUGUGAUUAUUAUUAUUCAAAAUUAUUAUAAUUGAUAAUUAUUGUUAAUAAUAAUAAUAAUAAUAAUAAUCAUCAUCAUCAUCAUCAUCAUCAUCAGCACAUUAGGAACAUUGCCGUAGUCGACAUCAUCACCAACGAUGAAGACGAAGAUUAUGCGGUGAGGCUCGAUUUUGGCAGUGAUCGCGAUGAAGAUAGAAAUGACAAAGAUGACCUUUUUUUUUUUUUUUUUUCCUUUGGAAUUGAGGGUAAAAUUGAGUUAAUGAAUUUUUGGAGGUGCAAAAUUAGAAUUCAUAGGAAUGGGAGACUGAUUCCUCUCCCAUUCUCCAUUCUCAAGAUGGGGUGGAUCCUAUGAUUUUAAUUCUAAUUCAUGCCUCUAUUUUGCGAAAUAAAU
Molecule: long non-coding RNA, 47385 nt
Filed under: Citrus sinensis (sweet orange)
Lineage: Eukaryota; Viridiplantae; Streptophyta; Magnoliopsida; Sapindales; Rutaceae
Source: RNAcentral